GUUUUUUUUUUGUCACUAGUAAAUUGGUUUGGAUUCUGGGUUCCUCAGUAAGCUAGAUGGUGUAGGCCAUGAUCUAUUUUCUGAAGAAGAGUAGGGUUCAAUCAUUUGAUUACUUCUAGGCUUAGGACAACAAGGUAUGGCAUUUUAUGCCAUCUGAACAGCUGCAACAGGCGGUUUAUGGAGAUCUUACAAUGAUGGUGUUUAAUGGUCAUGUAUGGGAUGGACAUGGAACAGGAAUACAAUGUUGAGGAAAAAACGACGACUCCGGUGCGCCUUCGGUGAAGGUUAAGGGAUCCACACUAUACUGGUGAGUUUGAGGCACCAGAGCCUGGAACCAAGUCUGGGGUCUGAAAGAAGCACCCCAUAUGGUGCAAUGCAAUGCUGUGAUGUUGAUGUGUUGUUGUUGUCACUGGUUAUUACUCUGCUUUCUUGCACUAUUAGCAGUUUCUUGCUACUGUUAAUCUUCAGAGUAUCGUAUAAGUUCGAUGAAAGAUGGAGCUCUGUAAAUUUAUUUAUUCAGAAUUUGAUGUCGGACUAGUAGUACUUGAUAGAAAUUACCCUAAGAUAAAAAUGAUACAAACCGAGAACAAAUACAUGAAUUCCAGUGUAUCCUUAUCGUACACACGCAUGCGUGUAAAUAUGCAAAACAAAGAUUCAACAAACUUCACUGAAUGCAUCUGCUCCUGAUAUUGAGAUGCUUGCCAUGACAUCGCUUGUAAGAAGACGAGCUUCUUUAAAAUGAAUAGCAUGUGUGCGCCAUUCACAAUGUUUUGAAAUCUAAGCACGAUCCAUAACUCAAGUGAAAACAAGGCAAUCCAGUUUUGAGUAGCACCUUACUCAUAAUAAGCUGUAAAUCCAGCCACAUUAAUACCACUGGUCGAAACCAAGCUUGUCUUUGUCAAGACAUGGGCUGUAUUUGAAAUUUGAAUUUCAUAGCAUGACAUACUCCUAAAACACGAAGACAAGGUUUUUCUUUUUCCGAAAAGGAGGAUGACCCCCGACACGAAGACACAAAGACAGAGGUAGCAGAUACAAAGAGCUCUUGUUCUUGUAAAUAACCCUAACCAAACCAUCCAACGCAGCCAGCAGCAGCAGCUCAUCUUCAAAGUCUUUCUGGGAGGCAAAAGUAGAGAGAUCCAUCUUUCUUGACGCCAUUUGGUUACAUCAUCGUCCACCAGCAACUGCGUGUGGGGCUUCAUCGGAGGCCGGCAACCGGCCCCAUGCUGCACCGUAACAAAGAAUUGAUCAGAUAACAUGACGAACAAAAUAGGGAAAGGAGCACUUUGCCCCCUCAAAAUCAUUUCAUCUUUAGCUGUCCAUAUCCACCAAACUAUAUAUAGAUGGAAUGCAUCCACGUUGGAGGUACACAACAACGAAAACUGCUCAGUGUCUGAUUAGCAAAGCUUUGACUAGGUUAACCAACUCUUGAGCAUAACCAGCGAAAAAACAUACAUACUAGAGCAUCCAAACAAAACAUACAGGAUAUAGCCCCUACUACACAUUCACCAUUGAGUUUUCAGGUCAGCUGCCUACUUAAUCAGCACCAACUACUCUUUCUUUCCUCUGGCUUGUAUCAACAUCAAAGACGGCAUGACAGGAAAAAUCACAGACUACUAGUGGUUGCCUACAACAAGCCGACUUUGCGGCAUGACUCAACAUCAGAAUAAUGUAGCAGUACUACAUAUCUAGAGACAGAAAACGAGAGAAGGCGAGCAGACCUGAAUACAAAUAUCUAUCUACCUAAGCAGAAAAUGAGAGGAAUAAAGCAACUUAUUCAUCAACGUAUUUGGGCACUCUUUAACUUAAACUACUCAACAAUGUAAGCCACAAGCAAAAACACUGAAAUUCUAGUCAAUGGCAUGUUUAGCAUUCAUAUCUUGGUGCACGUGUUUGAAAAAACAGUACGAGAUAGUCUGUAUGUACCUCCAAUGCAGAACCUCGUGUAGGGCAUGACCUUUUCAAUGCUAAAUUCACCCAUCUUGUUGGCUCGGCCUGAAUUAAGCUCAACUGCAUACAACCCAGCCGGAGUUCUGAGGAAGAUUACCCUAACUCCUUCAGCAAAACCAACCGUCCACACAUCCGAGCUCGACAUGUCCAAGAGGGCACGAGGAGGGAGCAACGGCUCGAGCUCGACGACCCUGCGUCGUGUCCAUGCCGCAGCUCCUCCAGGACCAGCCUCCAUUGACCAUAGAUAGAGUCUAGGCUUGCGCACUGACGCAAACAGCAACAUGCCAUCCUCCACACCCAGGAGGUCAAGGUAUCCCUGGUCCAGGAUCUCUGGCGCCUUGAUCACAGACAGUUGUUGCUCACGAAUGUUGUACUCCACGACGCUGUCACCCUCAUAAUUGGGGACAUAUACCUUAUUAUUUCCCACCACAGCAGUGCGCCCCCCGGUAUCGAUUUGAAGACCCGGGGUCUGAACGGAGAUCAUGUCGCUCCACUGACGAGUCUCCGAUGAGUAGACAGUGGCGAGGGUAAUGCUUCCUUCAUCUGCAGAGCCCACCAGGGCCACGAGGAAAGGGCCACCAUGGCAGUCGAGGUGGUCACAUCGGUCUAUGGCGCAGAACACCGUGGCAUUACAGUGUAUGCUGCCAUUGUAAUAGUCGUCGGGGUCGUCGCCCGGCCAGUGCAUGAUGUCGUGGCACUUGGGGUCGUCGUCGAUCUCCCGCCAGUUGUCGGUGACGAGGUCGCAAACAUCGAAGGGGGCAUGGUACCCAGGGGCGUAGAGGAGGGCGAGGCCGUGCCGGGAAUCAAGAACGUGGCAGUCCCGGUGGUCAUGGGAUGCCGGCCGGCGGAAGGUCGAGGUGGAGACAAAGCGGUUGCCCCUGCGGUAUUCGUUGUGGAGGAAGCCCAGCAUGGGCGGCGCCCCGUGGAGAGCGCGGUAGCCGCGGGCGAAGCCGGGGUCGGAGAGGAUGGCGCGCCAGCCCCUGCAGACGGCGGCGGCGCGGAUGAGGCUCCUGGGGUCGUCCACCGGGAGGCGCAUGAAGACCGCGCGCAUGGCGUCGUCAACCAGCGGCGGCGGACUCAGCGGCAUCGCCAUGGGGGUGAUGACCUUUUCAAUGCCCUGUUCAUCAUGCACCUUGUUGACUAGUCUGUAUGUACCUCCAGUGCAGAACCUCGCGUAGGGCAUGACCUUUUCAAUGCUAAAUUCACCCACCUUGUUGGCUCGGCCUGAAUUAAGGUCAAUUGCGUAACACCCAGCCGGUGUUCUGAGGAAGAUGACGCUAACCCCUUCCGCAAAACCAACCGCCCAGAUGUUCGACUCCGACAUGUCCAAGAGGGCACGGGGAGGGAGCAAUGGCUCGAGCUCGACGACCCUGCGUCGUGCCCAUGCCGCAGCUCCUCUAGGACCAGCCUCCAUUGACAAUAGAUAGAGUCUAGGCUUGAGCACGGAUGCAAACAGCAGCAUGCCGUCCUCCACACCGAUGAGGUAAAGGAAUCCCUGGCCCAGGUUCUCUGGCACAUUGAUCACAGAUAGUUGUUGCUCACGAAUGUUGAACUCCACGAGACUGUCACACUCAUAACUGGGGACAUAGACCUUAUCUCCCACCACAGCAGUGUGCCCUCCGUCGUCAGUGCGCAAACCCGGGCUCCGAACAGAGAUCUUGUCGCUCCACUGACAAGUCUCCGACGAGUAGACAGUGGCGAGGGCAAUGCCUCCUUCCUCCACAGAGCCCACCAAGGCCACGAGGAAAGGACCGCCGCCAUGGCAGUCGAGAUGGCCACAUCGAUCUUUGGCGCAGAGCACCGUGGCAUUACAGCGUAUCCAAGUCCCGCUGAAGAAGUCGUCGGGGCCGUCGCCCGGCCAGUGCAUGAUGUCGCGGCACUUGGGGUCGUCGUCGAUGUCCCACCAGUCGCCGGUGACGAGGUCGCGGGUCUCAAAAGGGGGGUCGUACGCAGGGGCGUAGAGGAGGACGAGGCCGUGCCGGGAGUCGAGGACCUGGCAGUCUGGGCGGUCCUGGGACGCCCGCCGCCGGAAGGUCGAAGUGGGGACGAAGCGGUUGCCGUUGCGGUACUCGUUGUGGAGGAAGCCGAGCAUGGGCGGCCCCCUGUGGAGCGCGCGGUAGCCGCGAGCGAAGCCGGGGUCGGAGAGGAUGGCGCGCCAGCUCCUGCAGACGGCGGCGGCGCGGGCGAGGCUCCUGGGGUCGUCCGCCGGCAGGCGCAUGAAGACCGCGCGCAUGGCGUCGUCGACCGGCGCCCUCAUCGCCAUGGGGGUGGAGAUCGGGAUGAUGGCCCGUCGGCCGUCGGGAGUCGGGGUGAGGAUGGGGAAAAAGAUGCGGUUGCGGCGGCUGAGUCGGGGUGGGGGCGUGACCUAGGCGGCGGCUCUAAUUGGGCCGGGAUGCCUUGUACUCUCAACAUCUGGGCCGGGAUGAAUUCGGCUUCUUCGGUUAACCUGCUAAAAUAACGAUUUCUGUUCUAAAACAAAAACCCGUGUGUGUUAAAAUAACGAACCGAUUGAAUUUUGUUUGGUCACUCCCAGUAACACAGCAAACUUUGCUAAAAAAAGAGUAACACGGGAAACCGAAUCUUCCUGUGCACCGAAAAACCGAAUGCUAUUUUCCAUCUAAAAAAGAAAAAAAACCAAAUGUUAUGGCAUGAUGAUGAUAAUGGGAUGCACCAUGUACACUGUUAACAAAGCAGUUUUUAUGAUUGUGCCCAAUGUGUGCAAUGCACGGCUAAACUUAUCAAAUAAGGAGGAUAAUGACUUUUUUUUCUUAUACUGGUGAAGGAUUAGGACAGGGUGGCCCUUUGUCUCCUCUCUUGCUUAACCUGAUAGUAGAUGCCUUCUCUGGGAUGUUAGUCAAAGGCUCUCAAGCAAGUUUGAUUAGUGCGGUUAUCUCCUAAUUUAGUGGAGGGUGUCAUGUGCCUGCAAUAUGGAGACACACCCUCCUUUCUCGGAGAAUGGUCAUUGAAUAUCUCUUAGCCUUAAGUGGAUCUUGGCUUCUUUUGAAUAAGUUUCUGGAAUGGGGAUUAAUUAUCACAAGACUGCUUUGGUGCCUAUUAACAUGGAUACUAGUGAAUUACAUGCUUUUGCGGAUAUAUUUUAGUGUGUAGUAGGUGAUUUUCCCUAUAAAGUAUCUGGUAAUUCCUUUGCAUUUUGAAAAGACUAGUACAGAAGAUCUUCAACCUUUAAUUGAUAAAGAUUCUUGCUAAGAUUCACUACUACAUAUCAUAGCCUUUAAUUGCCAAGAUUCUUGAAUGAAUUUAGCAUGAUGAUAAUUUGUUGUCAUCUCAAACGGGAAAAAGGGGGGCCCUAGCACCAGCGAUCAACUAUUAGAGCUUCCUUUAGCUCGUUUGUACUGCUCAAACAAAAAAAUGUAGGGAUUUUGCGUUUCUUUCAAAUUCACAAAUAUUUCUCAAAUAUCAUUCAAAUUUCAAAUUCAUGACCUUUUUGUAAAUUUUGAAAGAAAAUGAAAACCCGAACACUUUUCAGAUUCAUGAACAUUUUUUACUGGACAAUUUUCAAAUCUUGUUCAUCGUACAAAUUUCAAGUUCAUGAAGUUUUACACGAACUUGAAAAAAACUAUGAACACUUUUCACUAAACAAUUUCCAAAUCUUGUGAAUGUGUAAUUCUUCAUGAAGUUCUGCAUGAGUUGAAAACCACUCACUCUCUAUUUUUUUCAAAUUCAUGAACAUUUUCCAUUGGACAUUUUUAAAAUCUCGGUCUCUGAACAACUUCCAGAUUCACAAACAUUCUUCACUAUUUUUUUUGAAAUAAUCAAACAAUUUUCAAAUUCAUGAAAUUUUCCAGGACAUUUUCAAAUCUCAUUCGCUGGACAAAAUUUAAAUUCGUGAACAAUUUUUAAAAGCAUGAAGAGAAUUUUAAAUUAUAAACAUUUUUAAAAAGAAAAAAAUUAUAAUUUUGAAUAUUUUUUUUCGAGAUUUUUCACAUUUUUUAAUUAAUGAAGUUAGAAAAAAAGAGAAGAAAAUAAAAAAGGAAAGGAACAUAGGAAAAAAUGAAAUAAUCUAAAAUAAAUAAAUAAAAGGUAAACCAGAAAAUGAGUAAAAAAUGGUUUCGAAAACCUUCAAAGAUUUCUACUUCCUCCAUCACAGUUUAUUGGGCGUAUCUCGCGUCGCUCUGGGCCCAAGGUGCAGUGUGAUUGGCAGGAAAUAAGGAGGCGCUGGAGCUGCGCUAUUGAAGGAGAUGCGCCUAAUGAAUCGCUAAACCAACACAUGCGGGAGGCCAUGCGGAGCAAAUAUGAAACCGAUUCCCACUUGCACUCAUGUUCACACUUGCAUGCGCUGCACAAACCAUUUAUGUUCCCACUUGCAUGCGGUUGAGAAAGAGAAACAGAAACAGCCUAAUGCGCCCCAAUUAAUAGGAUAGUUAAGGAGCUGCGCCCUAUUUCCGUGGGAUUGUAAAAAAAAUCUGAUUUUGAAGAGGCAUCUAACAAACUGUGAUGAAGGGAGUAAAACUAAUCUGCACCUCUCCUAAUGGUUCGACACAAGCUUCGUUAUGAUUCCUAAUGGGUCGGCUCAUGUUCCUAUGCUAGUGGGCGAUCGGAGUUUUAAUGCUCACAAUGAGCGAUACAUGUCAUUACUGGUGAACAAAGAUUGAAAGAACGCCAGGCGGUUGGGCCUUGCCAUCUAGGCGUCUCUAAUUGGGUCGGGAGGGCUUGUACUCAACAUGUGGGGCGGGAUGAAUUCGGCUUCUUCGAUUACCUAAAAUUUAAAAAGUGCAUACGCACUGUUUGGGCGAAUCGAGCGCCCGGCUCCUGGCCACUCGAUUCAGCGCGGACAUAGACCAGGUGUCAUCUGUGUUGAAUCAUUUAAACUGAUUUUGGACUGUUGCUCUUUAAAAUAGUGGGCCAGGGAAUAUAAUUAGAAGGAAACGUAGUACGUGAUGUCCAUUCUCUCUCUCCGCAUGUGACUGAUUUAACUACUUUUUACAAAAAUUAAAAAAAUCAUAUCUUUUAAACCUUGCAUCGGAAUUCAGAUCCGUUUUCACAUUUGGCCUCCUCACAUCGAGAUCUUUAAAACUAGAUCUCGCAUGGGUAUGUUUUGAUGAAAUUUUUUUGAUGCCAACUUUGGAGCUAUAUGGUGCAACUUUAGUACUGUGUUGUGUAACUUUAGUACUACAUGAUGUAACUUUUCUCAAAACAAAAAUUUAGAACUGCAUAAUCCAACUUCCUAUGUGGUUGCAACGUAGCAGCCAUGACAACCUGAUUUGCAACUAGUCUACUGCCGUGGCCAACUACCUACUCGUAGAUGUGCAACCAUCCUUCGAGAAAUACACUUUGGUUCCUGGUUGUAUAUGCACCCUAUAUGGGGAUUUUUUUUAAUAUUUUAAUAAAAUUCAAAAUAGGUAAGAACUAUUUUGACAAAACACUUGACUUACUUUUGCACUGAUAUAUAAAUGUCGACGAAAAAAAACAAAAGUUGACCUCACAGCAAAAAAGACAAAAUUUAUUUGCUACUAUAAGUCACUAUUCACACUAUUUUAGCCAAAAAAUUGUCUUUUUUGAAAAGAAGUCAAAAGGAUAUAUUUUUUUGUGGAUUUUAUUUCUCACGAGUACAAUAGAAGGUCAAGUUUAUUUAAAAAAUAUUUUCGGGAAUUUUUAACUUUUUGUUGAAUUACUAAUUUUUUCCCAUAUAGGGUGCAUAUGUCCCCAUAGACCAAAAGUUCACCUCCACCAUCCUCCCUACUUGUAAUGUAAUCUAGUUGCACACACAUUGAUGUUUAGUUGGCAGGAAGACUAGUUGCACACACAUAUGCUUAGUUGGCUUUUAAUAUUGUCUAGUUGCAUACACAUUGAUAUUUGGUUGGCUUGUAAUGUAGUCUAGUUGCACACACAUUGAUGUUUAGUUGGCUUGUAAUGUAGUCUAAUUGCACACACAAUGAUGUUUAGUUGGUAAGAAGACUAGUUGCACACACAUAUGCUCUGUUGGCUUGUAAUGUACUCUAGUUGCACACACACACAUAUGCGUAAUCGAGGUGACAAUGUAGUCUAGUUGCACACACAUUGAUAUUUAGUUGCCAGGACUAGUUACACACAUAUAUGCUCAGUUGACGCGUCAAUGUAGACUAGUUGCACACAUAUUGACGUUUAGUUGACAGAAAGACUAGUUCAUCGAAACAUCCCCAUUGGGAUCUAGUUUUGAAGAACACGUCGCGAGGGUUUCAACGGUGAAAACGGAUCUGAAUUUCGACACACGGAUGGAAAGUUAUGCCUUUUAAAAUUUUAAAAUCCCAAAAUAAAUAUAAACAAACACAUGCACAUGCAUAUGUAUGCACAAGAGGAGAUGCAUAUGCUGGCAUUUAGCCCCUCCGUUCGUAAAUAUUUGUCUUUCUAGAUAUUUUAAAUGACUAUUACAUAUGAAUGUAUGUAGACAUAUUUUAGAGUGUAGAUUCACUCAUUUUGCUACGUAUGUAGUCACUUGUUGAAAUGCAUAGAAAGACAAGUAUUUAGAAACGGAGGGAGUAAUACGUAACAAGAAAAUGGACUACUAAACUAAAUAUGUAGCAUAGACAGAAAUAGUACAUGCACGCAAUUUAGAAUUUAGGUCGGCGCUCGGUACGGCUACCGAGCAGCCGGCCGCUUGCUAGACUUGCUAAAAUACCAAAUUGACCGAUUAUUUUUGGUGAGUAACACAGAAACCGAAUUUUCCUGUACACCGAAAAAACGAAUCCUAUAUAUACUUAAGUGAUUCAUCCCCACUACAAGUAUUUAUCUCAAACAUGCAGGCCAUCUAACUCAGGAUCCUACCACAUCAGUGAACUCCUAAUAUGCAUGAUGCCACGUCGAACGGGACGAGACUUGCCUGCUCCCUUCUCAUGCUCCCAUCCGUGCUUCCACAUACGUGACUUAAUUUGAUUAGAACAAAAUAAGAUCCGCCCCUACCCCCUUAAAAUCAGGGAGGAGAUGAUUAAAUUAGAAAGAAAAAAAGGAAAAAGACAAUCAUAGAAUGAAAUGUGAGCAUGGAUGAAAGCAUGGAAAAGGGAGCAGGCAAACCGAAUCCCGUCGAACAUGCUGCUACCCGCGUACAGAAAGGAGCGAGGCACGACGUUUUGUUACCAUCCCACAUCUGCUUCAUCCAUUAACCACGGGAUCCUCAAUAAUAAAAUAAAUGCGUGUUAUCUUCUCCGCAAUGCCAUUGGUAUUCUCCCACUUUUUAUUUCCGCCUCCUGUUCGUGGUUGUUUGGAUACUGAGAAUUAGUUGUGAGAUUAUAGGAAACGAGUUUUUGGAGGAUUUUUAGCAAAACCGGUUUUGCUAUUUUUUUUCAGUUACGGUGGGUAUGUACAAGUUCGUAUCCUCCGUCCGGUUCCACUCACCUAAAUAAAUCAACCCAUUCAAACUCGGCCAUGCAAAACCUACCAUACACAUGCUCAAAAAAAAAUAAGCCUACCAUACACACCUCACCUUCAGGGGCGAUGGUGGUGCUGCCAGCCCGGCGUUCGUGGGGGUCGCCCCCAAAUACCAGGAUGCUGCUGCUGACCCGGGCCCCAAAUACUCAUCCGUUGUCGGUGAAUCAAGCCCCGCGGACAGUGUGGACCCAAGCCCGCGCCCCGAUGUCGAUCAGAGCUCCAGGCGAGCCACAUGUCCCACUGUUGUCGUCCUCCUCCAACAUCACCUGUGCCAAAAGGUGGGGGCUCUCCACAAAUCCUAACGAUCUUGAGUUUCUUUGGGUUGGAAGCACUGUGCUCUGACUUGUGUGCGGUAGGAAACAUUUUUUAGAAGGCACAUCUGUUCUGUCUCCAGCCGCCUCUUCCGCCCAGCAAGUCCGGUCACUCCUUCUAAUCCCCAAUCCUCUCUAAUGCAAGCACUACUCCCCGCAAGCAUUAAACAACAAUCUCUGAUUCCUCUUCGUUUUUUUUUCUUUAUAUUCAUAGUUGGAAGGAAUAAACAAACGAAACAACUUUGAUUGGAAGCGAUGGGUCGUACUGAUCUCUCUUCUUUUCAUUUUGUAUAAGGCGCUGAUUGGAAGGAAUAAGCAGGUGAACUGGAGUACCAUCAGUACGUGCAACUACAGUCCCGCAUCUCUCUCUCUCUCUCUCAUACAUGCACACACGUGUAGGUUAGUAUGAAUUUUAUUGGGUUUUUUUUUGCUUUGAUUGUUUUGUGAAUCAAGGCAUAUUCCUUUUGGUCAUUUUCAGGUAUGUUGCUGAACGACAGUACUAUUCCACGAUGAAUGUCAUCAGAACGAUCCAAUACCCGAAUAGAUGGUUUAUUAGGCAUGUGUGUUUCAGUAGUACUGUUCUAUCUGAACAUCAUCUAGCCUGGCAAGGUAGCACAGUGCUAGAUUAGCCAUGUGUUUCAGAUUUAUCAUUCAAAAUCAAAGAUUCUGUAAACAUUGUUGUGGAUAUUAGUUGCAGGUUAAUGGACUAGCGGCUUCAAGUGUAAGUUUAAAAGGGAUUUUUUCCAGAUAUUAUACAAAUAAAAUAAAAUAAAUUCAUAUUUGCAUUUGUUUUACAUAAUGAUAUGUUAUACAUUUCCUUCCAUACACUGAAGCUUUCAUAAUCAAUUGCAGGGCUGUAGCUUCUGUGCUAAAUGAUCAACACAAUAAUUUCUCUAUGCUGGGGCCAGAUGUUGAGGAGAUCAAGCUACUGUUUGUAAAUGAGGGUUCAUCGAGUAGCAAACACGACGACGCAUAUGAUGGCGAAGGAAGGGGUCUCGAAUGGUCUUCAUGAAGUAUGGCUGCAUGUGCCACCUGAUAGUAUCCUGCAUGUAUUUUGAAAUCCCUGAACUUCAUGAAUAAAUAGAGUGAGGGCGUUAAUCUAAUUGUUUAUCUUUCAUGAAUAAACAUCUGGUGUUAAUGACAAUUCUUGGUGAGAGGAUCAAGUAUGGCCAUUUCUGAUUCUCCUAAACUUUAAUUGUUCUAAUGCUGGAUAGCAGUCUUUUAAAUAAGAUGUUGAACAUGGAGUAUAUUUGUUGCCCUACUUAGUAACCAUGACAUUUGGUGUACCUUUGGUUACUUUUCCACCCAAAAUUUUUAUCAUAGUGGACAAUCGAAGCUAAUUUCUAUUUUGGCAUAUUAACACGCAAGGCUCGCAAAUUAGCAUGAAUUUCUUUUUGCUCUGAUGCACUUCUAAUAGAUAACCAAAUUAUAUUAACUUGAAUUAUUAUCAGGAAAAUCUCAGCAAGUAUGGAGAUACUCUACAAUAUACUAAUUCUCCUAGCUUUUCAUAUUGUUUCAUUGAAGGUUAAAAAUUACAUUUUUAGUAUUUUAUUAUUUCUUACAUCAUAAUUACUUAUCAUGUAGUGCUAAAAAUUCCCCCAGCAACACGCGGGGUAUCAUCUAGUUUAACAUAUGGAAUACACCAUGUACCAUGACAGCCAAGCAGUUUCUAUGGUGUAUUUCACACAACAGCCUUCCUGCUAGUUUCGGGAUUCAACACGGAAGUAUGGAUGUAGAUCGACGAUGCACUAUGCCCAAUGUGUGCACAGCUAAAUGAGGAUGGAGCUCAAUUGUUUGCAAGGUUUGAUAUGGUCUUCAUAUGCGAUAUGAACGCCAACUGCUUGCUAGGUGCCUCAAACCUAGAGAUUUCUUGCUACUUGCUUUUGAGCUCUAGGAUAGUUCUGAAGGUCAUGCUGAUGAGUGUUGAAUUUUUUUAUUAGAAAUAUGCCAUGAAGACAAUAAUAAAUAUAUUAUUCUAGUUUAAUGUUCACAAUCAAGUUUAUAUUCCUGUUCUAUAAUUGCAUUGAUUCUUGAAUAUGAAUUCGAAGCAUGGCUCAAUUGCAUGUACGAAAACAUAAACACCAAUAUGAUCCCUAGUCAUGACCCUAAGACUAGCUCACGCAUUAAUGAUGAUCAUGUUUUCCUGAUCAUGUGCAUUUGAUGUAGGGAACGCCCUAGGUGGGCCAAUCUUUUCACACUUGAAGAUGGAUCAAGAGGAAUAAGAAGAAAACAAGGAAAAGAAACGCUCAAACAAAAUCUGAUCACACAUGCACUCCUUCCACAAAAAUUCACGCUAGGUAACAAGAUCCACAAUCAACUAAGAGACAGACUAGCUAGGGUGGUUCUUCCCAAAUCCACAUGUGGAGAUGACGGCUUGAUGAUCUGAUGCAUCCUUCUCCCUUAGGAGCUCUUGAAGACCUAUGAUGAGAUCCUUCUCCUAGAUUGAGGUCUUGAGAUCUAGAGAGAUUCCAAGAUGGAGGUCUUGUUCCUCUAGGAGGAGGUACAAGGAGCAAAACUCUCUCGAUAUCCUUCAGUAUACUUAGCUAAAUCCUACAGAGGAGGAAGGGGACGACUAUUUAUAGUGAUAGGGGUGAGAGAGGGGGAUACAUGGUCACUUGGGAUGAACUGCUCGUGGACAGGACCUAGAUGUAUGGAUGGCCACUUGGACCGAACUUCUCUCCUUAACCCUACACCUCUCACGUCCUACCUUGGUAUUGCUCCCUUGCUUCUCCAUGGUCAUUUCCAUGGUAACUAAGUAUGCACAAGGUCUCCGCUUGAGGUAGUAGCCAUGUCUCUAUAUGAAGUUAAGGGUAGUUCAAAGAGGAGCGAGUUAACCUCCUUUUCGAUGGCGCAUGCAUGUGCUCUAGUCAUCGGUCCACUUAACACUUCAGGUGUUGGUGUAGAAUCCAUGGGGAUGUUCGUGGGGCGCUUGACACCAUCUCCCCCCCUCCGGGCGGGGGGGGGGGGGGGGGGAUCCGCUCUCGGAUCGUGAACUUCAUCACCAUGGUAAGGUGCCAAGUCGAUGACACUGAAAUUGUCGCUCAACGAGUACUUGUCACGAGGGAUGUCGAUCUUGUAGGCGUUGUUAUUGACCCUUCAUAGAACCUUGAAGGGGCCAUCGGCUUGGGUAGAAGCUUGGACUUGCAUUCUUUCGGAAAGCAAUCCUUUCGAAGGUGUACCCACACAAGAUCUCUGGGGUUGAACACCAUGUGUCUCUUUUUGGCGUUGAUCUUGCAUGCCUUUGCACUUGCGCUCGAUAGUGAGUAUUGUGUCUUCGUGCAUCUUCUUCAUGUAGUUUGCUCGAGACUUGAAAAUCCAUUGUUGGUGCACUCCUGUAUAGGAAGCGGAAGGAUAUCCAAGCCAUAGACCACUUCUAAGGGAGACUUCAUCAUUGUCAAAUGUCUUCCACGAUUGUAUGCGAACUUGGUAAUGGAUAAGCACUCUUCCCACUUCCUGGCGUUUUUAAUGAGUACGUGAAGUAGGAUAGAUAGUGUGUGAUUGACCACCUUCGUUUGGCCAUCAGUUUGAGGAUGAUACAUCAAUGAGAACAAGAGCUUGAUUCCUAGCUUUGCGCAAAGAGUCUUCCAAAAUUAGCUCUAGUAUUUAACAUCGCGGUAUUAGAUGGUUAUCUUGGGCACUCCAUGUAGAGACAAGAUUUCCCUACAAAAUAAAGUUGCAACAUGUCAAGCAUCAUCGGUCUUGUGGCAUGGAAUAAAGUGUGUCAUCUUAGAGAAUCUAUCAACAACUAUGAAUAUCGAGUCUUUUUUAUUUUUAUUCCUAGGCAAACCAAAUAUGAAAUACAUGCUUAUGUCGUCCCAAGUUGCACAUGAAAUAGGCGAUGUCAUGUAAAGACCAUGGGAUUGAGCUUUGAGCUUAGCUUUGCGGCAUGUAUUGCAUCGGUUGACGGAGCGUCCAACAUCGCGAAACACCCUUGGCCAAAAGUGCUUGUGGGCAACGUCACAUAAGUCUUGUCACGCGCAAAGUGUCUCAUGAGUCCCCCACCAUGUGAUUAUCUAUACCAAUAUAAAAAGAUCCAAAAGGGCAGAUCCAAACCAUCUCGACCAUCAAAUCAUGUUAUCUAGCGGUUCAAAUUGCUCCGAUGUUGAGCACCAAACACGUUUAACGCUCUAAUUACCCACCACUGCUAUUGGUUAUAAACACGUUUUGACUCAACGUUAUCCCAUGAAAUCUGCCAUGUAAUUAAUAUUCUACCAUUCUCACGAUAAAGUAAUUGAUAUCUUACCAAAUACCAACAUGCAACAGAUAUAUCUUACCUAAUAUAACGUGCAACUAAUAUCCUACCUAAUAUAAACGUGCAUUGCACGUACAUUAUUACUAGUUGCAAAAGUAGUAAACGUAAAGAACUCUCGGGAACAUAAUUAAAGCUUGUUAGCACGCAUUAGAUAACCGUCUUUCAUGUAAUAUAUGGUUCCCAACAAGUUCCAUUUUGACAAUUAACAAAAGAAGGCGCAAAGAAAGUGUCAUGCUCAUACAAAUCUUUAAUAUGAUCAAAGCCAACAACAUAGUGUUCAAGUUGGGUGAUUAACCUGCAUUUGCGAGAAAGAGCAUUCGCUACGACAUUUUCUUUACCCUUCUUAUAUAAGAUGACAUAAGGAAAAGGCUUGAUAUAUUCACUCCAUUUAGAAUGACGACUAUUCAACUUACAUUGACCCUUGAAUAACUUCUGCAUCUUGAUUGUAACCAUGUAGUUAUGGAAUAAAAUUCCCAUUUUCUCCACACAAAAAGAGGAUCCUUUUUUUGCGAAUCGACGAUUGAAUUGAACCAUACGUAUUUCAAGUACGGUAGAUGGGCAAUAAUUGGAUAGUAAUAAUUUUGGGAAAGUAAUAAUUACGAGACAAUAAUAAUUGGAUAGUAAUAAUUACAAACUUAAUGAUAAUGAUAACAUUGAACAUGCUAGACAUGUUUAGUGCUAAAAGUCGAGGAAAUAUAGGCCGUUAAAUCAACAAGAUGCGUUGGAUGUUUGCACUUACUCCUUUUUUUAACAUUACUAGGACAAUGCCCGUGCGUUGCAACGGGAUAUAAAUAUUCUAGUAUGUUAGUUUGUUAUUGCUUGUCCUUAUGAAUAUAAAUGUUUAUCAGUUUAUACCCAUGAUUUAGUUACCCGUGCAUUGUAACGGGGCAUAUGCUGAAUGUGUUUAACCUAUAUCUUUAGGGCAACAUUCUUGACUUUCUAAUAUUAUUAUUGGUGAAUACCCGUUCGUGCUAUGGGAUACAAAAUAUAUUGAGAGAAGUUACACUGGAUAAUAAUAUAGCUUUGUGGUGAUUAUAUUAAAAUUCCACCUCUAUUAUAAUGAACGUGCACCCUAACAAGACUCUUUCAGCCCAAUAAUAAAACUGAAUGCAUCAAUUAAAUAUUUUUAUUUUCCUUUUGGGGAUGGGCAUCAAGCAAAUGUCCAUCACAUCUUGUGACAAAUAUAGGACUGGCUCCAAGCUCAAAAUAAAAUAAAAUAGGACUGGUUCGAUUCCUCCUCUUACCACUCUACACUCUCCAUUUCUUUUUCAUUGAGAUCUCCAAACACAAACUCAACUCAUCUCUUUUUCAUUGGCAUAUCCUUAUACGCCCUCUUCAAGUUAUUUCCUUUCCAAUGAGGUCCGCGGCUACCAGCAGCAGAGCUGACGAAUUGAUAAUGAAGAAGAAAGACCAUAGUUAAAUAACCCGCCGACCAUCAUGUCUUGUUGGUCCAAAUCUGUAGAUGUCUAUGAGAAAACUGAAAACCCAGUUAAAUAACCAAGCCAUUUGAGCUUAUGCUUUGCUAUUCCCUACAAUUAUUUCCAUUAUCAAAUAAAAUGUGUAAAUUAUGGUGGACAGUAUUAACUACAGACACUAUACAACCCGUUCAUAUACUGAAAUUCUUUAAAAAAAAUCUCAACCCUACUCUAUUACUUCAGAAAUAAAUGAUACAAAUGUAGAAGCUAUAGGAAAGUGAAUCAACCCGGGAACCAAAAAUGACUGGAACAAAAGCAUGGGAAGAGAAAUGAACUGAGCGUGAUUUGUUUUGCCCUACCGCAGAAAGACAAGAUGAGGUAGACGACGGCGUGGACUCCGCUGGCAGCGACAACGUUGGCCUCGUUCUCUGCAAGCGCUUGCCGGAUCUGUUCAUCUCCUUGCCUCACCCACACGAAGGGGGGAAGCUGGUCAUGUGGACUCCAGCCGCUGGACUCGAGGAGGCUAGAGGAAAGGGAGGACGUAAGGCAAUGAAGGCCCUUAUUGCUACUGCCCCUCACAUCUAAGCAAUAUGCUACAGAAGACACGUGGUUAUGCCAUUGAUCCACACCACAUUCAAAUACCUUCAUGAAGUUUUGGCCGUCGCGCGCCGCCGUAAUGAGGAAGAGGCGGGGAGCGAAGGCGACAGAUUCGACGCUUGUGGCAGCUGAUCUUGCUCUUGUCGGAGAACACGGACACUCCUUGGGGGUAUCAACGUGGCGGUAGCGGCGAAAUAGUCUGCCGGGACAUGCUUCUUAAUGCCCACCGUCACGCCGUCCUCCCCGUAGACUCCCCUCAGGCCCUCGUUGGUGGUGCACGGCGUGACGUAUAUCUUGUGGAGCGCAGGCACGCACUUCCUGCCGGCGCCCCUAUCCCUGUCACGGGUGAACUCCUGCAUGAGCCACGGCGUCUUGCGCUUCUAGGAUGGGGACCGGACGCAGUAGAACCCGACGUCUAUUCUUAAGCCCUCGCUCUUCAGGAAGCUCCUCCUUGGUAUGCUCCAGCCGCCAGUACCCGCCGGUCUGCACGCUGCGGUCGGCGCGCUUGUUCUUGGUCGCCGCACACGGGCUCUGGAACUUGGACUCGCCAAGGAACCACCGGGUGUGCUAGCCCGCACUGGUGCUGGCGGCGGGUGAAGCUGCAGCAACGCGUAGGGACCGUUGGCGUAUAUGUCGGCGUGGAAGAUGAACCCCCGCGCGUCCGGCAUCUUGUCGUCGCCGGCGAUCCACCGGUUGAGGAACCCCAUGCUAUCCACGUUUGUCGGGUUGAAGUAGACGUCGGGAGGCAGCGGCGACGGCUGCUUGAGUUCGUUAAACCGGCCGGGACUGGGCGGAGGCGCCAUGGACAUGGAGCUGCUGGCUCCGGCUCUGGCCUCGGCGGUGGCGGAAGUUGAUCUCUUGAUUGCUUUCCUCGCUUUCAUGACGGCCAUGGUUUCCAAGCUAGCAAUCUGCAUGAGUUUCUCCGUGCAAUCUGCAUGACCAAACAUAACAAUAACGAUUAAUCAUGCAUACAUAGAAAUCAAAUUGAGUACAAACACAAGAGUUUGGAUGAAUUUGUAUCAUGAUAUGGCACUCUAUUCUUUUGAUGACAGGUACAAAGGCAUCUAAGAAACACCAUGCAGCCUCCCAAGCAAUUGCCAAGAAAUCAUCUGAUUAUAUCAGUUACUAAUUAAUCAAUUACCCAUGGUCUUGUUCGGCCGGUGCCGCAUCUCCAACCAGUUUCGUUGCUUCUUCGCGGGCGCCUCAUGUAGUCCCAGCCACAACUCGCCGAUCUUGCGCACCGUGAUGGAGCAAUUGUCGAUGGAGCAACGAGAAGGACAGGUCGCCGCUUUUGGGAGGUGAGGUCGACGUGGAUAACGGCCGCGACACUGGCGAGGCUGGUGUGGGCGCAGCCGCCAGAUCGAAGAGACCAACACGAUGUGGGCUAGGGGCGGCAGGCCUCGGCGGACCAGCAGCCGCGGCGGCAAGUGCGGCCGUGUGAUCGGGCCGAGGAGGGCGGGCAGCGGCGGAGGGGGUCGAGCGGCAGAAAGGAUGAGCGGCGGCUGAGGAGCGAUGGGGAGAGGUGGGUUGGAGCUGACGCUAACCUACCCAGAUCGAUGUGGGCUUUUGCGAGGCUUGGCCCAUAUGCGUCUAGACGGGGCGAGCGAACAAGGGACGACGACGGCGAGCGACGUAAGAGGAGAAACGGAACGCUCCGUUUCUUUUAGAUAGUAGAGAAAAAUAAUUGACAUUUAAGGGAGAAUGAGCAUUUUUUUGUUUGAUGCCAAAAGCCGGAUGCUAAAAUUUGACAAAGGCCAAAUAUUGGCUAGUGAGUCGUUACCAAUUUUUUUGGCAACAUUUGAUUUUUUUUGUUUCAAAUUUUGCUAAUAUGAGAUGUUAGCAUCAAACCAAUCAGCCUAACUAAUUGUAUAGUUAUAAUUUUGGGACUGUAGUCACUGGAAAGUAAUAACUACAUUGCAAUCAAAAUAGAAUAUUAAUAGUUACAACAAUUUUGUUUUGAAAAGAAAGCCAACUGGCACUUCUAUUUUAUGUCGUGGCAGAGUUACAUCAUGAAAAUACACGAUGUAAUAAGAAUUCAGGAGUAACAUCCACCCAAACAUAGCUAGUUUUAGAAUCAUAACAAGUCCUAGCCAAGAAAUGUGCCAGCCCAUUCGCUUCCCUGGAACAAAAACUGGACGAUAUUGAUGUAACACCAUGAGCCAAGUGAAAGCAGUCCACAAGUAAUGCUGAGCAUGCUGGACAUGUUUCACACCCAACGAUUGAGGAAAUAUAGACAAUUGGAUAGAUGGCGGUUGGAUGGGUGAGAUUUGUUGGAUCUAAGCAACUCACUCUAUUACAUUAAUAGACUAGUAUAACGCCCGUGCGUUGCCACGGGCUCUUCAAAAUUUAUAAUCAGUAUCUUUCAUUUAUCAUCCCCUCAUAUUAGGUGAUUAUGGGGUGCUCUAAUUAGAAACACAACAAUCAAAUAUUAGGAAAUUUCACCGAACGAACAACAACGAAUAAUACGAUAUCUAUCAAACGAAUAAAAUGAGGUCAUAUUUUUGGUCCGUCAUGCAUUUUUAUUGAAAAGUGCCUAUCCCUUUUAGAAUCAACCCACUGUUUGCUCGCACGCAAAAAAAAUACAUCUCUAAAGUGGGGAACCGAUCGGUGCCAAAAAGAACUCAAACUCCUAUCCAAUCUCGACUUCGUGCUCUUCCACUUCCAUUGAUAAAGAUGGGACGUCAAGGGUUUCAUCAUGAUGACCUUGAGCAGCCGCCGACAUCCCUCCCCACAUCUACCCCUACCCCCUGCUGCCGCUUGCACUGUCCUUGCUCCUCGAGGGAGCUAGGGACACAAUGUUCUCUAGGAUGGGCAUGACCAGAUCCACGAGGAGGCCACAUUCUUCCAUGGGAACCCAACCAAGCACACCACCCUCCGCAACCAUCCAAUCCCAGCCUAACAAAGUCAAGACCCGCCAUCGAUCCACAAAUCAGGCUCGCCGCAUUCAGGUUCACUGCAAGUCUGCGACGAGUCUGUAGUCGACAUCUUGACUUUGGCUAUCCCCACGGAAGAAUCAUCGGAUCCUGCUUACUUUUACCAUCACUUCGUCUCUUCCCAAGGCAGCGACACCACCCAGCCAAUCACCACCACCGCUUGCGGCUUGCCUACAUAAAAUCAUGAGAAAUCCCCACGGCGGUGCUGUAAGAUCACCUUGGCGACCUCAACAGUGACCGACUGGUCUAAGAUCUAAGCUAGACGCUCUUUGUAGAAACCAAUAGAAGUAGGCACGUGACUCGGAUUUGUUCUUUGGUGUGCAUGCGUUUCUUGCUGCCCACCAGCUCUUGUCUAUAACUCGCCUAUCUUUGUACCAGCUCUUGGUCUACAACUCGCCUAUCUCCAUGCUCGAGACGACCAAGCUCGAUGCGCAAGCCGCAUACGUCUGCUAGAGCUAUAUCCAGGCCCUAUGAUUUUUGGAUCACUGGCACUAUGGGUGCCAGGACCGGAGUCGCCCUCAUCCACCAAGUGGAUCAAGGAGGCCCACCACCUAGACUCUACAUCGCAACAUUUUGUGUUUUCCUAUAAAAAGUAAAGAACCUUCUCUAAUAAACGUAAAUAUAACCUUUUGGUUUUAUAGUCUCAACUUUCCUACACUCCAAUACCAGAAUGAUUUCUUGGUUUUAUUUAAUGACCUUCUUGAAUGUCAUUCAUUUAGAAAGGUAGUAAUACAAUCUGUGAUAUUAAGGCAAAUUAUUAGUCAUAUUAAAGUGCAAAAGGCCCUAUAGGAGUCAAAGCAUGACUUUUAUGGUUAUACUGUAAUUUGCAAGAUCUGAGAUUUAUGCAAGUGUACAAUUAGAGAAGAGCCAAUUAAAUAGAUUUUCACAUUCAGAAUAGUACGAUUAGUAGUAGCACUUCAAUUUUUUCAUGUUUGAUCAGCUUGCUAGGUGGUUAUCACUAAGCAUGUUGGAACGAUGAGCAUAACCUAACUUAGUUCAGUACGUGUUGCUGCAAAUUAGUUCAGUACGUACGAAGCUGUUGCUAAUUUCAAUGCCUGGCUGUUGCAAGUUUCUAAUAAAAAAGUACUUCAGGUCAAAGGUCCGGGAAUAUACACUUUUGUUAUCAUGGUUGUUUCCUUAUAGUGAACAACUUUGAUCACCACUUCAGCAGCUACUAUCUAUAAGAAGACAUUAGCUAAGUAGAUACAGGCAAAGAAAGCAUGUAGGCAAAACCAGAAUUAAAAACAUCCUUCUCAAUGGAGCUCGUGCAGUUCGGAAGACCCUAAUCAUCGAUGAGGGACCCCUCCGAUGGUAGCAUGGCGUGACAAUUGCCGUCAAUGACGACACCCAAAGUACCUUGCACAAUCCAUUGAUCCAGUUCGGAACAAUCAAGCAUAUACCUUGCAAAGUGAUGUGGAUCUGAAGCAGAGGUGGGAAGGUAAAGGCUCAGGUGAGGUGGAAUGAGACGUUGAUAUAGACGUGCACGCAUGAGAAUAAGGCGGUGCCCAGGAUGGAUCUCCAUCGGAGGAGGCCGGAUCCGCUGGGGAGGAGGUCGCUGUAGUACCUGCCAUCUGUGCGAUGGAUCACGGGGCUGGCAGGCAGGGGGAGGGGAUAGGAGGGAGCGGGUGGGCUAGAGCGCAGAUGGCGGGUGCCCCCGACGAUGGCUGGGAAGGAUGGUGGAGGAGGUGGAUGAGGAUGGCGGCGGCGGCAUCUGCGGUUGCGCCUCGUCCGCAGCCGUGCUGGUGGUGGUCGAUGCGAGAGCCGGAUGGCGUCGGCCAGAAUCAGGCAGGGGCGACAAAGAUUUAGAGGAGAGAGAGAAUGGAGGCGAUGAGCGAUGGGAGGAAGGGCCACCGGCGAUUGGGGUGGCCUCAGAUCCGCCCUCCGUGGCCGCCUAUUUCAUGGGACGAACGCCCGUGCUCACCGUCGGGCUCGCCUUCGGCCGCUGCCUCGCCGACAUUCACGACGUAGAGCCCCUUCCUCCGAUCCCAUUUGCCAGGGAGGCAGCGCCAUCCUUCAUCGCAGAGAACGAGUCCACACUGAGAUCCCAACCAGAUCGUGAUUGCGCCUCCCCAAACCGCAGCGGCACAUCCCACUCCAUCAACGACCAACCUAUAUGAGGCGGAGGGUCAGUGUAGGACGCGAGCGCCGUCACCAUGGACGUGGGGGACGCCGUAGGUGGGAAGGAGGCGGCGACGGCGUCUGCGUCAGGAAGAUCGCACGACGGCGGCGGCGUUUACUCGAGGGGAUCGAGAGGAGCUGCGUUUGGUGCCGGGUGGGUUCUUUGGUGCGUGCGUGGGGCUGGAGAUUGUGAUAGGUGAUCAGGUGAGGGCGUGCCAUACCUGGAUCGAUAGCCUUACCAUACCUGGUGGUAAUUUAAAUUUAUUACCAUAUUCGAUAUUUCCCGAGUUAUGGCCUUACCAUAUCUGGAUUGAUAGCCUUUGGGGUAAUUUAAAUUUAUUACCAUAUAAUUAUCAUAUUCCAAAUUUCCUGAGUUAUGACCUUACCAUACCUGGAUUGAUUUAUUACUAUACAUGAAUUAAUUAUGAUUUAUUACUAUACGUGGAUAGCCUUACCAUACCUGGUGGUAAUUUAAAUUUAUUACCAUAUUCGAUAUUUCCCGAGUUAUGGCCUUACCAUACCUGGAUUGAUAGCCUUUGGGGUAAUUUAAAUUUAUUACCAUAUAAUUACCAUAUUCAAAAUUUCCUGAGUUAUGACCUUACCAUACCUGGAUUGAUUUAUUACUAUAUGUGGAUUAAUUAUGAUUGAUUACCAUAAAUACGUUGGGUAUUGCCGGUCAGACGAGAAAAGAGAAAAACCGGUGGGAGGGGCUGGUGGGAGGUGGGACGAAGAAAAACCGGUUGAAAUAAACCGAUUGAAAAUAAACCGGUUGAAAAUGGAGGGGACUAUUCAACCAAUUCGUCCAUUAGGAGUAGAGAUAUAGAUUGAGAUAUAAAGAUAGUGAGUAGAGAUGGAUAUAGAGAUAGGGAUGCGAGGACCGGGGAAGAAUUCAGCCAAUAUACAACCAAGGCAUGAGAGGGUAAACACAACACAACAACAUGGUCAUCACACCUAAAGCUAGCGAUCAAGCGGAAACAUACCAGUACAUCAUUGCCAUGAGCGAUACAGAUGAACAUGGAACUGUCAAUUUAUUAGCAGAUACUAUUACUCUACCCAUAGCCUAGUACUUACUUAUAACACAUGGUACAGUGGCAAUAGCGCUUGAUCCCCUUGGCGGUGCAGUAGGCCGCCUUGACCCUCAUGUCCGGGUUCUGGCUGGCGCACUCCUGCGCGCAGAGCCAGUCCAUGCAUAUCAGGGAGAAGAAUUGCUCUUGCUCGCAUCUCUCUACGCGGAAAGAAACUCAUGGAUGGAUGGAUGGACACAAUUAGCAGGAGAUCUUUUUCCAUGGAAAAGAGAUGGAAAAGAGAAGGGCAAGGCAAUCGAGUACCGGCUGCAAGAGCAGGGCUUGCUGCUACAAGGGUGAGCACGACGAGGAAGUAGAGAGCGUUUCUCCCCUCCAUAGGUGCGUGUGUUUAUUUUGAGAGGACGGAGUCGAAUUGAAUCUGGAACACAAGAUUGAUAUUGCACUCUGCGAGACACACACAGUAUAGGUAGAAGAGAGCGUAUCCUCUAUAUCUAUAACAUUAUACUCCCUAGUUUUCAAGAGCCCACAUUGAAUUAAGGUCACCAAUGAAGAUUGAGUCACCUAAUUUUGACCGGGUCAACAGUUUCUCAAAGCUAUCUCAUUCAAUUCUUUUAUACUAUACAUCAUGUUUCCUAAUUUUUAAAGUCUCAGAACUAAUUGAGGUCUUCAAUGGUCUAGCUCGAUUUUGACCGGGCCGACAAUUUCUCAAGGACCCUCCCAUUCAAUUAUUUUAAUUCUCUAUGUUACCAUUUUGAAGCUCUUUCAUUUAAUUGAUGUAUUUAAUUUUGGAUUUGGUUUAUGAUUUUGACCGGGUCAACGAGUUUUCAAAUCAAUCAGCAGCAAACGGUCUAUAAAAACAUAUCAAUCCCACACACCCUCCCACCACCUAGGGAAAAUAAGUGUCACCAUGUGAUACUAAAGCACCAAUAUAAUACAUGCAGUCACCAACGCAGAAAUAUCUCCAUAUAAAUAUAAGUUGGUUAGUGAAUAACACUGAACCACACCACAAAAGGCCCAUCAAAUCACCGCAUUAUACAUAGAAACAAAACACACUCCAUCAUCUCCCCACCCAUCAAACUAAAUACUCCAUCCAUUACAAAAUAUUACGGGUAUUAUAUUUUUGGAAAGUCAAAUUUCUUUAGCUUGGACCAAGUUCAGAGCAAAAAAUAUCGACAUCCACAAUGUUAAAAAAAGAGUAUGAAAAUCCAUUUCAUGAUGAAUCUAUUAAUACUGAUUUGAUAUUAUGAAUUUUGAUAUAUUUCUCCAUAAAUUUGAUUAAACUUAAAAGGUUUGAUUUAAAAAAAUACACCUUAUAUUUUGAAACAGAGUGAUUAAUCACUUUAAGAAACACAACAACAACAACAACAACAACAACAACAACAACAACAACAACAAUGAUGCAGCAAAGCACACCUAACCCUUCUAGUAUGGGGGAAAGAGAAAUGAUUAAUCAUAGCGCUUAAAAAUCCAGCUAGACUUGAGAGAGGAUCAAUCAUAGCUAUUGAAAAUCCAGUUGGACUAGUCUUUUUUAUUGCAUGGAAUUAGUUUUUUUUAGCGGAACACCUGAACUUUAUUACUGCAUCACCCGAACUUUAUUCCUUUUCUAUUACAUGGAAUUAGUUUCCUUUCUAGAUGAAGGCUUGCAUGGAAUUAACUAUUCCUGAGGGUGUGGGCUUGGGCUCAUUCUAAAGAAGAAGGAAAGUUUUUCUCCUCAGUCCAGUCGCUGGGCAGGCUCAUUUCUGGCCCCCAUUGCAUGGGCUGAACAACUAGCGCUAUCACAUUUUAUUUUAUUUUCUUUUAAAAACUAACAUUACCCCAUGUCCUCAUGUUCCCGUGGAUGCUUUGCUCAAACACUGCCAAAUCGGCCCUUCCUCCGUCAUACCCUCCUAUACAUUCCAGAUCUCCCGCCAUCGCGCUACCACGGUCGACGUAACGUCAAUCUGGGACAAGGAGGAGGGAGGCACACGCGUUGGAGUAUGUCCGACGGCGUAGCCGGGCUGUUGGUGUAGGGGCAAGGGUUUGCCUAGCUGGGGUGCGACUAGUUCCGCGCGCUGCAAGCCCUACCAUGGCUCGCCUGCAGGGUGCAUGUAUUGAGUCGGCCUAGUAACCGCGUCACAUCAGCAUGCUAAUGUCAUGUUAUUUAUUUUGUUUAUUCUUUCAAUUUUUGUUCACAUUUUUUUCUUAUAUUUCAAAACAUUCUAAAUAUACAUAUUACAAAAAACAAUUUACAUAAACCUUAAAAGCGUUGGUCUUGUAUUCGAAAAAUGUUCAACAUGUAUAUAAAUAUUUUCUGAUGUAUAUGAAAUAUGUACAAUGUCCAUGAAACAAUGUAUGUGACAUUUAAAAAAAGGUUAUACAUUGUAAAAAUAUAUUUGUUUAAUUAAAAAAUAUGAUUCGUUCAUUAAAAGAAUGUGUGUUACAUUUUUAAAAAUAUUCACAAGUUUAAAAAAUGUAUCCAUCACAAUAAAAAAAACUUUGUACAAUGCAAAAAAAAAGUUUGCAUAGCUCACAAAAGAUGCUUUUCUCAUAAAAAACAUUCCAUUNNNNNNNNNNNNNNNNNNNNNNNNNNNNNNNNNNNNNNNNNNNNNNNNNNNNNNNNNNNNNNNNNNNNNNNNNNNNNNNNNNNNNNNNNNNNNNNNNNNNNNNNNNNNNNNNNNNNNNNNNNNNNNNNNNNNNNNNNNNNNNNNNNNNNNNNNNNNNNNNNNNNNNNNNNNNNNNNNNNNNNNNNNNNNNNNNNNNNNNNNNNNNNNNNNNNNNNNNNNNNNNNNNNNNNNNNNNNNNNNNNNNNNNNNNNNNNNNNNNNNNNNNNNNNNNNNNNNNNNNNNNNNNNNNNNNNNNNNNNNNNNNNNNNNNNNNNNNNNNNNNNNNNNNNNNNNNNNNNNNNNNNNNNNNNNNNNNNNNNNNNNNNNNNNNNNNNNNNNNNNNNNNNNNCCAUAGAAACUCGGUGAAAACGAAGAAAGAAACAAAAACCCAAGAAAGCAACAAAGAAAAUGAGGGAAAAAGAAACAAAAAAUAGAAAGGAAAAAGGAAGAAAACUAAAGAAAAGACCAAAAAGGAAGAAAAAGAAAACCGAAAAAGGUAGGAUAAUAAUGGUCAAUUUGUCGUCGGUCAUUAGGCCAAGUUGCCAGGUGUUAGUAAAUUGAAAAUGUCAUGAUGUGUCUAAAUAGGUGCGGUUAUCAGAUAUAUCAUAGGAUGACAUGGCAAAAACAACAACAUAUGGGUUGUGCAAAUGAGGGCUAAAAAGUGUCAUGGUGUAUACAAAAACACCAACAACAAAAUUACAAUGAAAUAACUAGGUAGGUAAAAAGUAGCAUCAACAUGGGGAGUGAAAAGAAUCAAUGCCUCCUCUCGCGUAAGCGUACGCGUAAUGUCGGUCCGGGCCGCUUCAUCCAACAAUACCGCCGAACCAAAGUAUGACAUGCUGGUAAGCAGUAUGACUUAUAUCGCCCACAACUUACUUGUGUUCUACUCGUGCAUAUAACAUCACCACAUAAAACCUAGGCUCGGAUGCCACUGUUGGGGAACGUAGUAAUUUCAAAAAAAAUUCUACGCACAUGCAAGAUCAUGGUGAUGCAUAGCAACGAGGGGAGAGUGUGAUCUACGUACCCUUGUAGACCGACAGCGGAAGCGUUAUGACAACGCGGUUGAUGUAGUCGUACGUCUUCACGGCCCGACAAAUCAAGCACCGAAACUACGACACCUCCGAGUUCUAGCACACAUUCAGCUCGAUGACGAUCUCCGGACUCCGAUCCAGCAAAGUGUCGGGGAAGAGUUUCGUCAGCACGACGGCGUGGUGACGAUCUUGAUGUACUACCGUCGUAGGGCUUCGCCUAAGCACCGCUACAAUAUUAUCGAGGAUUAUGGUGGAAGGGGGCACUGCACACGGCUAAGAAUAUGAUCACGUGGAUCAACUUGUGUCUAUGGGGUGCCCCCUGCCCCCGUAUAUAAAGGAGUGGAGGAGGAGAGGGCCGACCCUCUCUAUGGCGCGCCCUAGGGGAGUCCUACUCCCACCGGGAGUAGGAUUCCCCCUUUUCCUAGUCCAACUAGGAGUCCUUCCAUGUAGUAGCAGUAGGAGUCAAGGCAAGGGAAAAGAGAAGAGAAGGAAGGAGGGGGCGCAACCCUUCCCCCUAGUCCAAUUCGGACUAGGCCUUGGGCGGGCGCACAACCUCUCCUAUCUCUUUCCCUAAACCCCAAUAAGGCCCAUAUACUCCCCGGUGAAUUCCCGUAACUCUCCGGUACUCCGAAAAAUACUCGAAUCACUCGGAACACUUCCGAUGUCCAAACAUAGGCUUCCAAUAUAUCAAUCUUUAUGUCUCGACCAUUUCGAGACUCCUCGUCAUGUCCGUGAUCACAUCCGGGACUCCAAACAACCUUCGGUACAUCAAAAUGCAUAAACUCAUAAUAACUGUCAUCGUAACGUUAAGCGUGCGGACCCUACAGUUCGAGAACAAUGUAGACAUGACCGAGACACGUCUCCGGUCAAUAAAUAAUAGCGGGACCUGGAUGCCCAUAUUGGCUCCUACAUAUCCUACGAAGAUCUUUAUCGGUCAGACCGCAUAACAACAUACGUUGUUCCCUUUGUCAUCGGUAUGUUACUUGCCCGAGAUUCGAUCGUCGGUAUCCAAUACCUAGUUCAAUCUCGUUACUGGCAAGUCUCUUUACUCGUUCCGUAAUACAUCAUCCCGCAACUAACUCAUUAGUUGCAAUGCUUGCAAGGCUUAUGUGAUGUGCAUUACCGAGAGGGCCCAGAGAUACCUCUCCGACAUUCGGAGUGACAAAUCCUAAUCUCGAAAUACUCCAACCCAGCAUCUACCAUUGGAGACACCUGUAGAGCUCCUUUAUAAUCACCCAUUUACGUUGUGACGUUUGGUAGCACACAAAGUGUUCCUCCGGCAAACGGGAGUUGCAUAAUCUCAUAGUCAUAGGAACAUGUAUAAGUCAUGAAGAAAGCAAUAGCAACAUACUAAACGAUCGGGUGCUAAGCUAAUGGAAUGGGUCAUGUCAAUCAGAUCAUUCAACUAAUGAUGUGAUCCCGUUAAUCAAAUAACAACUCUUUGUCCAUGGUUAGGAAACAUAACCAUCUUUGAUUAACGAGCUAGUCAAGUAGAGGCAUACUAGUGACACUCUGUUUGUCUAUGUAUUCACACAUGUAUUAUGUUUCCGGUUAAUACAAUUCUAGCAUGAAUAAUAAACAUUUAUCAUGAUAUAAGGAAAUAAAUAAUAACUUUAUUAUUGCCUCUAGGGCAUAUUUCCUUUAGUCUCCCACUUGCACUAGAGUCAAUAAUCUAGUUCACAUCGCCAUGUGAUUUAAGAGCAAUAGUUCACAUCACCAUGUGAUUAACACCCAUAGUUCACAUCGUCAUGUGACCAACACUCAAAGGGUUUACUAGAGUCAGUAAUCUAGUUCACAUUGCUAUGUGAUUAACACCCAAAAGUGAUCGUGUUUUUCUUGUGAGAGAAUUUUAGUCAACGGGUCUGCCACAUUCAGAUCCACAUGUAUUUUGCAAAUUUCUAUGUCAACAAUGCUCUGCAUGGAGCUACUCUAGCUAAUUGCUCCCACUUUCAAUAUGUAUCUAGACCGAGACUUGGAGUCAUCUAGAUUAGUGUUAAAAACUUGCAUCGACGUAACCCUUUACGACGAACCUUUUUGUCACGUCCAUAAUCGAGAAACAUACCCCUAUUUCACUAAGGAUAAUUCUGACCGCUGUCCAGUGAUCUACUCCUAGAUCACUAUUGUACUCCCUUGCCAAAUCAGUGCAGGGUAUAUAAUAGAUCUGGUAUACAGCAUGACAUACUUUAUAGAACCUAUGGCCAAGGCAUAGGGAAUGACUUUCAUUCUCUUUCUAUCUUCUGCCGUGGUCGGGCUUUGAGUCUUACUCAACUUCACACCUUGUAAUACAGGCAAGAACUCUUUCUUUGACUGCUCCAUUUUGAACUACUUCAAAAUCUUGUCAAGGUAUGUACUUAUUGAAAAAACUUAUCAAGCGUCUUGAUCUAUCUCUAUAGAUCUUGAAGCUCAAUAUGUAAGCAGCUUCACCGAAGUCUUUCUUUGAAAAACUCCUUUCAAACACUCCUUUAUGCUUUACAGAAUAAUUCUACAUUAUUUCCGAUCAACAAUAUGUCAUUCACAUACACUCAUCAGAAAUGUUGUAGUGCUCCCACUCACUUUCUUGUAAAUACAGGCUUCAUCGCAAGUCUGUAUAAAACUAUAUGCUUUGAUCAACUCAUCAAAACGUAUAUUCCAACUCCGAGAUGCUUGCACUAGUCCAUAGAUGGAUCGCUGGAGCUUGCACAUUUUGUUAGCACCUUUCGGAUUGACAAAACCUUCUGGUUGCAUCGUAUACAACUCUUCUUUAAUAAAUUAAUUAAGAAAUGCAGUUUUGUUUAUCCAUUUGCCAGAUUUCAUAAAAUGCGGCAAUUACUAACAUGAUUCUGACAGACUCUAGCAUAGAUACGAGUGAGAAACUCUCAUCGUAGUCAACACCUUGAACUUGUCGAAAACCUUUUGCGACAAUUCUAGCUUUGUAGAUAGGAACACUACUAUCAGCGUCCGUCUUCCUCUUGAAGAUCCAUUUAUUCUCAAUUGCUUGCCGAUCAUCGGGCAAGUCAACCAAAGUUGAAACUUUGUUCUCACACAUGGAUCAUAUCUCAGAUUUCAUGGCCUCAAACCAUUUCGGAAUUUGGGCUCAUCAUCGCUUCCUCAUAGUUCGCAAGUUCGUCAUGGUCUAGUAACAUGACUUCCAGAACAGGAUUACCGUACCAUGCUGGUGCGGAUCUCACUCUGGUUUACCUACGAGAUUCGGUAGUAACUUGAUCUGAAGUUACAUGAUCAUCAUCAUUAGCUUCCUCACUAAUUGGUGUAGUAGUCACAAGAACAGAUUUUUGUGAUGAACUACUUUCCAAUAAGGGAGAAGGUACAAUUACCUUAUCAAGUUUUCUACUUUCCUCCCACUCACUUCUUUCGAGAGAAACUCCUUCUCUAGAAAGUAUCCAUUCUCAGCAACGAAUGUCUUGCCUUUGGAUCUGUGAUAGAAGGUGUACCCAACUGUUUCCUUUGGGUAUCCUAUGAAGACGCACUUCUCCGAUUUGGGUUUGAGCUUAUCAGGUUGAAACUUUUUCACAUAAGCAUUGCAACCUCAAACUUUUAAGAAACGACAGCUUAGGUUUCUUGCCAAACCAUAGUUCACACGGUGUCGUCUCAACGGAUUUAGAUGGUGCCCUAUUUAACGUGAAUGCAGCUAUUCUAAUGCAUAACCCCAAAACGAUAGUGGUAGAUCGGUAAGAUACAUCAUAGAUUGCACUAUAUCCAAUAAAGUACGGUUAUGACGUUCGGACACACCAUUAUGCUGUGGUGUUCCAGGUGGCGUGAGUAGUGAAACUAUUUCACAUUGUUUUAACUGAAGACCAAACUCGUAACUCAAAUAUUUUACCUCUGCGAUCAUAUCGUAGAAACUUUUAUUUUCUUGUCACGAUGAUUUUCCACUUCACUCUGAAAUUCUUUGAACUGUUCAAGUGUUUCAGACUUAUGUUUCAUCAAGUAGAUAUCCCCAUAUCUGCUCAAAUCAUCUUGUGAAGGUCAGAAAAUAAUGAUACCUGCUGUAAGCCUUAAUAUUCAUCGGACCACAUACAUCAGUAUGUAUGAUUUCCAACAAAUCUGUUGUUUGCUUCAUUGUUCCGGAGAACGGCGUUUUAGUCAUCUUGCCCAUAAGGCAUGGUUCACAAGCAUCAAGUGAUUCAUAAUCAAGUGAUUCCAAAAUCCCAUCAGCAUGGAGUUUCUUCAUGCGCUUUACACCAAUAUGACCUAAACGACAGUGCCACAAAUAAGUUGCACUGUCAUUAUUAACUUCGCAUCUUUUGGUUUCAAUAUUAUGAAUAUGUGUAUUAUUAAGAUCGAGAUCCAAUGAACUAUUUUCAUUGGGUGUGUAAUCAUAUAAGGUUUUAUUCAUGUAAACAGAACAAUAAUUUAUUCUUUUACUUAAAUGAAUAACCGUAUUAAAAUAAACAUGAUCGAAUCAUAUUCAUGCUCAACGCAAACACCAAAUAACACUUAUUUAGGUUCAACACUAAUCCCGAAAGUAUAGGGAGUGUGCGAUGAUGAUCAUAUCAAUCUUGGAACCACUUCCAACACACAUCGUCACUUCACCCUUAACUAGUCUCUGUUCAUUCUGCAACUCCCAUUUCGAGUUACUGCUCUUAGCAACUGAACUAGCAUCAAAUACUGAGGGGUUGCUAUAAACACUAGUAAAGUACACAUGAAUAACAUGUAUAUCAAAUAUACUUAUGUUCACUUUGCCAUCCUUCUUAUCCGCCAAUCACUUGGGGUAGUUCCGCUUCCAGUGACCAGUCCCUUUGCAGCAGAAGCACUUAGUCCCAGGCUUAGGAUCAGACUUGGGCUUCUUCACUUGAGCAGCAACUUUCUUGCCGUUCUUCUUGAAGUUCCCCUUCUUCCCUUUGCCCUUUUCUUGAAACUAGUGGUCUUGUCAACCAUCAACACUUGAUGUUUUUCUUGAUUCCUACCUUCAUUGAUUUCAUCAUCACGAAGUGCUUGGGAGUUGUAUCCGUUAUCCCUUGCAUAUUAUAGUUCAUCAUGAAGUUCUACUAACUUGGUGAUGGUGAUUAGAGAAUUCUGUCAAUCACUAUCUUAUCUGGAAGAUUAACUCCCACUUGAUUCAAGCGAUUGUAGUACCCAGACAAUCUGAGCACAUGCUCACUAGUUGAGCGAUUCUCCUCCAUCUUUUAGCUAUAGAACUUGUUGGAGACUUCAUAUCUCUCAACUCGGGUAUUUGCUUGAAAUAUUAACUUCAACUCCUGGAACAUCUUAUAUGGUCCAUGACGUUCAAAACGUCUUUGAAGUCCCGAUUCUAAGCCAUUAAGCAUGGUGCACUAAACUAUCAAGUAGUCAUCAUAUUGAGCUAGCCAAACGUUCAUAACAUCUGCAUUUGCUCCUGCAAUAGGUCUGUCACCUAGCGGUGCAUCAAGGACAUAAUUCUUCUGUGCAGCAAUGAGGAUAAACCUCAGAUCACGGAUCCAAUCCGCAUCAUUGCUACUAACAUCUUUCAACACAAUUUUCUCUAGGAACAUAUCAAACAAACACAGGGAAGCAACAACGCGAGCUAUUGAUCUACAACAUAAUUUGCAAAAUACUACCAGGACUAAGUUCAUGAUAAAUUUAAGUUCAAUUAAUCAUAUUACUUAAGAACUCCCACUUAGAUAGAUAUCCCUCUAAUCCUCUAAGUGAUCACGUGAUCCAAAUCAACUAAACCAUAACCGAUCAUCACGUGAGAUGGAGUAGUUUUCAAUGGUGAACAUCGUUAUGUUGAUCAUAUCUACUAUAUGAUUCACGCUCGACCUUUCGGUCUCCGUGUUCCAAGGCCAUAUCUGCAUAUGCUAGGCUCGUCAAGUUUAACCUGAGUAUUCUGCGUGUGCAAAACUGGCUUGCACCCGUUGUAGAUGGACGUAGAGCUUAUCACACCCGAUCAUCACGUGGUGUCUGGGCACGACGAACUUUGGCAACAGUGCAUACUCAGGGAGAACACUUCUUGAUAAUUUUAGUGAGAGAUCAUCUUAUAAUGCUACCGUCAAUCAAAGCAAGAUAAGAUGCAUGAAAAGAUAAACAUCACAUGCAAUCAAUAUAAGUGAUAUGAUAUGGCCAUCAUCAUCUUGUGCUUGUGAUCUCCAUCUCCGAAGCACCGUCAUGAUCGCCAUCGUCACCGGCGCGACACCUUGAUCUCCAUCGUAGCAUCGUUGUCGUCUCGCCAAUCUUAUGCUUCCACGACUAUCGCUACCGCUUAGUGAUAAAGUAAAGCAUUACAUCGCGAUUGCAUUGCAUACAAUAAAGCGACAACCAUAUGGCUCCUGCCAGUUGCCGAUAACUCGGUUACAAAACAUGAUCAUCUCAUACAAUAAAAUCAACAUCAUGCCUUGACCAUAUCACAUCACAACAUGCCCUGCAAAAACAAGUUAGACGUCCUCUACUUUGUUGUUGCAAGUUUUACGUGGCUGCUACGGGCUUAAGCAAGAACCAAUCUCACCUAUGCAUCAAAACCACAACGAUAGUUUGUCAAGUAGACUCCGUUUUAACCUUCUCAAGGACCGGGCGUAGCCACACUCGGUUCAACUAAAGUUGGAGAGACAGUCGCCCGCAAGCCAUCUAUGUGCAAAGCACGUCGAGGGAACCGGUCUCGCGUAAGCGUACGCGUAAUGUUGGUCCAGGUCGUCUCGUCCAACAAUACCGCUGAACCAAAGUAUGACAUGCUGGUAGGCAGUAUGACUUAUAUCGCCCACAACUCACUUGUGUUCUGCUCGUGCAAAUAACAUCAAACCAUAAAACCUAGAUUCUGAUACCACUGUUGGGGAACGUAGUAAUUUCAAAAAAAUUCCUACGCACACGCAAGAUCAUGGUGAUGCAUAGCAACGAGAGGGAAGAGUGCGACUGCGGAAGUGAUCACACAACGUAGAGGAAGUAGUCGUACGUCUUCCCGAUCCGACCGAUCCAAGCACCGUUACCCCGGCACCUCCGAGUUCUUAGCACACGUACAGCUCGAUGACGAUCCUCGGGCUCCGAUCUAGCAAAGCGUCGAGGAAGAGUUCCGUCAGCACGACGGCGUGGUGACGAUCUUGAUGUUCUACCGACGCAGGGCUUCGCCUAAGCACUACAACGAUAUGACCGAGGUGGAAUAUGGUGGCAGGGGGCACCGCACACGGCUAAGGAACGAUCACCAAGGAUCAACUUGUGUGUCUAGAGGUGCCCCCUGCCUCCGUAUAUAAAGGAGCCAAGGGGGAGGGGGGCACCGGCCAGGAGGAGGGCGCAGGAGGAGUCCUACUCCUACCGGGAGUAGGACUCCCCCUCCCAAUCCUAUUCCUAAUAGGUUUCCCAAAGGGGGAAAGAGAGGGAGGGGGGCCGGCCACCUCUCCUAGUCCUAAUAGGACUAGGGGAAGGGGGGCGCGCGGCCACCUAUGGGCUGCCCCUUUUCUCCUUUCCACUAAAGCCCAUUAAGGCCCAUAUGGUUCCCGGGGGGUUCCGGUAACCUCCCGGUACUCCGGUAAAAUCCCGAUUUCACCCGGAACACUUCCGAUGUUCAAACAUAGGCUUCCAAUAUAUCAAUCUUUAUGUCUCGACCAUUUCGAGACUCCUCGUCAUGUCCGUGAUCACAUCCGGGACUCCGAACAACCUUUGGUACAUCAAAAUGCAUAAACUCAUAAUAACUGUCAUCGUAACGUUAAGCGUGCGGACCCUACGGUUCGAGAACAAUGUAGACAUGACCGAGACACGUCUCCAGUCAAUAACCAAUAGCGGGACCUGGAUGCCCAUAUUGGCUCCUACAUAUUCUACGAAGAUCUUUAUCGGUCAGACCGCAUAACAACAUACGUUGUUCCCUUUGUCAUCGGUAUGUUACUUGCCCGAGAUUCGAUCGUCGGUAUCCAAUACCUAGUUCAAUCUCGUUACUGGCAAGUCUCUUUACUCAUUCCGUAAUACAUCAUCCUGCAACUAACUCAUUAGUUGCAAUGCUUGCAAGGCUUAUGUGAUGUGCAUUACCGAGAGGGCCCAGAGAUACCUCUCCGACAUUCGGAGUGACAAAUCCUAAUCUCGAAAUACUCCAACCCAACAUCUACCAUUGGAGACACCUGUAGAGCUCCUUUAUAAUCACCCAUUUACGUUGUGACGUUUGGUAGCACACAAAGUGUUCCUCCGGCAAACGGGAGUUGCAUAAUCUCAUAGUCAUAGGAACAUGUAUAAGUCAUGAAGAAAGCAAUAGCAACAUACUAAACGAUCGGGUGCUAAGCUAAUGGAAUGGGUCAUGUCAAUCAGAUCAUUCAACUAAUGAUGUGAUCUCAUUAAUCAAAUAACAACUCUUUGUCCAUGGUUAGGAAACAUAACCAUCUUUGAUUAACGAGCUAGUCAAGUAGAGGCAUACUAGUGACACUCUGUUUGUCUAUGUAUUCACACAUGUAUUAUGUUUCCGGUUAAUACAAUUCUAGCAUGAAUAAUAAACAUUUAUCAUGAUAUAAGGAAAUAAAUAAUAACUUUAUUAUUGCCUCUAGGGCAUAUUUCCUUCAGUAGAAACCUUAUUUUCUUGUCACGAUGAUUUUCCACUUCACCCUGAAAUUAUUUGAACUUUUCAAAUGUUUCAGACUUAUGUUUCAUCAAGUAGAUAUACUCAUAUCUGCUCAAAUCAUCUGUGAAGGUCAGAAAAUAACGAUACCCACCGCGAGCCUCAACACUCAUUGGACUGCAUACAUCAGUAUGUAUUAUUUCCAAUCAAGUUUGUUGCUCGCUCCAUUGUUCCGGAGAAUGGAGUCUUAGUCAUCUUGCCCAUGAGGCAUGGUUUGCAAGCGUCAACUGAUUCAUAAUCAAGUGAUUCCAAAAUCCCAUCGGCAUGGAGUUUCUUCAUGUGCUUUACACCAAUAUGACCUAAACGGCAGUGCCACAAAUAAGUUGCACUAUCAUUAUUAACUUUGCAUCUUUUUGUUUCAAUAUUAUGAUUAUGUGUAUCACUACGAUCGAGAUCCAACGAACUAUUUUCAUUGGGUGUGUAACCAUAUAAGGUUUUAUUCAUGUAAAUAGAAUAACAAUUUAUUCUCUUACUUAAAUGAAUAACCGUAUUACAAUAAACAUGAUCAAAUCAUAUUCAUGCUCAACGCAAAUACCAAAUAACACUUAUUUAGGUUCAACACUAAUCCCGAAAUUAUAGGGAGUAUGCAAUGAUGAUUAUAUCAAUCUUGGAACCACUUCCAACACACAUCGUCACUUCACCCUUAACUAGUCUCUGUUUAUUCUGCAACUCCCGUUUCGAGUUACUAAUCUUAGCAACUGAACUAGUAUCAAAUACUGAGGGGUUGCUAUAAACACUAGUAAAGUACACAUCAAUAACAUGUAUAUCAAAUAUACUUAUGUUCACUUUGCCAUCCUUCUUAUCCGCCAAUCACUUGGGGUAGUUCCGCUUCCAGUGACCAGUCCCUUUGCAGUAGAAGCACUUAGUCUCGGGCUUAGGACCAGACUUGGGCUUCUUCACUUGAGCAGCAACUUGCUUGUUGUUCUUCUUGAAGUUCCCCUUCUUCCCUCUGCCCUUUUCUUGAAACUAGUGGUCUUGUCUACCAUCAACACUUGAUGUUUUUCUUGAUUUCUACCUUCGUCGAUUUUAGCAUCAUGAAGAGCUUGGGAAUCGUUUCCGUUAUCCCUUGCAUAUUAUAGUUCAUCACGAAGUUCUACUAACUUGGUGAUGGUGACUAGAGAAUUCUGUUAAUCACUAUUUUAUCUGGAAGAUUAACUCCCACUUGAUUCAAGUGAUUGUAGUACCCAGACAAUCUGAGCACAUGCUCACUAGUUGAGCGAUUCUCCUCCAUUUUUUAGCUAUAGAACUUGUUGGAGACUUCAUAUCUCUCAACUCGGUUAUUUGCUUGAAAUAUUAACUUCAACUCCUGGAACAUCUCAUAUGGUCCAUGACGUUCAAAACGUCUUUGAAGUCCCGAUUCUAAGCCGUUAAGCAUGGUGCACUAAACUAUUAAGUAGUCAUCAUAUUGAGCUAGCCAAACGUUCAUAACAUCUGCAUCUGCUCCUGCAAUAGGUUUGUCACCUAGCGGUGCAUCAAGGACAUAAUUCUUCUGUGCAGCAAUGAGGAUAAACCUCAGAUCACGGAUCUAAUCCGCAUCAUUGCUACUAACAUCUUUCAACACAAUUUUCUCUAGGAACAUAUCAAAAUAAACAUAUGAAAGCAACAACGCGAGCUAUUGAUCUACAAUAUAGAUAUGCUAAUACUACCAGGACUAAGUUCAUGAUAAAUUAAAGUUCAAUUAAUCAUAUUACUUAAGAACUCCCACUUAAAUAGACAUCCCUCUAAUCCUCUAAGUGAUCACGUGAUCCAAAUCAACUAAACCAUGUCCGAUCAUCAUGUGAGAUGGAGUAGUUUCAAUGGUGAACAUCACUAUGUUGAUCAUAUCUACUAUAUGAUUCACGCUCGACCUUUCGGUCUCCGUGUUCCGAGGCCAUAUCUGUAUAUGCUUGGCUCGUCAAGUAUAACCUGAGUAUUUCGCGUGUGCAACUGUUUUGCAUCCGUUGUAUUUGAACGUAGAGCCUAUCACACCCGAUCAUCACGUGGUGUCUCAGCACGAAGAACUUUCGCAAUGGUGCAUACUCAGGGAGAACACUUCUUGAUAAUUAGUGAGAGAUUAUCUUAAAAUGCUACCGUCAAACUAAGAAAAAUAAGAUGUAUAAAAAGAUAAACAUCACAUGCAAUCAAUAUAAGUGAUAUGAUAUGGCCAUCAUCAUCUUGUGCUUGUGAUCUCCAUCUUCGAAGCACCGUCGUGAUCACCAUCGUCACCGGCGCGACACCUUGAUCAUCAUCGUAGCAUCGUUGUCGUCUCGCCAAUCUUAUGCUUCCACGACUAUCGCUACCGCUUAGUGAUAAAGUAAAGUAUUACAGCGCAAUUGCAUUGCAUACAAUAAAGCGACAACCAUAUGGCUCCUGCCAGUUGCCGAUAACUUGGUUACAAAACAUGAUCAUCUCAUACAAUAAAAUUUAGCAUCAUGUCUUGACCAUAUCACAUCACAACAUGCCCUGCAAAAACAAGUUAGACGUCCUCUACUUUGUUGUUGCAAGUUUUACGUGGCUGCUACGGGCUUAAGCAAGAAUCAAUGCCUCCUCUCGCGUGAGCGUAUGCGUAAUGUCGGUCCGGGCCGCUUCAUCCAAUAAUACCGCCGAACCAAAGUAUGACAUGCUGGUAAGCAGUAUGACUUAUAUCGCCCACAACUCACUUGUGUUCUACUCGUGCAUAUAACAUCAACACAUAAAACCUAGGCUCGGAUGCCACUGUUGGGGAACGUAGUAAUUUCAAAAAAAUUCCUACGCACACGCAAGAUCAUGGUGAUGCAUAGCAACGAGGGGAGAGUGUGAUCUACGUACCCUUGUAGACCGACAGCGGAAGCGUUAUGACAACGCGGUUGAUGUAGUCGUACGUCUUCACGGCCCGACCGAUCAAGCACCGAAACUACGGCACCUCCGAGUUCUAGCACACGUUCAGCUCGAUGACGAUCCCCGGACUCCGAUCUAGCAAAGUGUCGGGGAAGAGUUUCGUCAGCACGAUGGCGUGGUGACGAUCUUGAUGUACUACCGUCGCAGGGCUUCGCCUAAGCACCACUAUAAUAUUAUCGAUGAUUAGGUGGAAGGGGGCACCGCACACGGCUAAGAAUAUGAUCACGUGGAUCAACUUGUGUCUAUGGGGUGCCCCCUGCCCCCGUAUAUAAAGGAGUGGAGGAGGGGAGGGCCGGCCCUCUCUAUGGUGCGCCCUAGGGGAGUCCUACUCCCACCGGGAGUAGGAUUCCCCCUUUUCAUAGUCCAACUAGGAGUCCUUCCAUGUAGUAGGAGUGGGAGUCAAGGCAAGGGAAAAGAGAAGAGAAGGAAGGAGGGGGCGCAGCCCUUCCCCCUAGUCCAAUUCGGACUAGNNNNNNNNNNNNNNNNNNNNNNNNNNNNNNNNNNNNNNNNNNNNNNNNNNNNNNNNNNNNNNNNNNNNNNNNNNNNNNNNNNNNNNNNNNNNNNNNNNNNNNNNNNNNNNNNNNNNNNNNNNNNNNNNNNNNNNNNNNNNNNNNNNNNNNNNNNNNNNNNNNNNNNNNNNNNNNNNNNNNNNNNNNNNNNNNNNNNNNNNNNNNNNNNNNNNNNNNNNNNNNNNNNNNNNNNNGGGGCGCCCAACCUCUCCUAUCUCUUUCCCUAAAGCCCAAUAAGGCCCAUAUACUCCCCGGCGAAUUCCCGUAACUCUUCGGUACUCCGAAAAAUACUCGAAUCACUCGGAACCUUUCUGAUGUCCGAAUAUAGUCGUCCAAUAUAUCGAUUUUUACGUCUCGACCAUUUCGAGACUCCUCGUCAUGUCCCCGAUCUCAUCCGGGACUCCGAACUCCUUCGGUACAUCAAAACUCAUAAACUCAUAAUAUAACUAUCAUCGAAACCUUAAGCGUGCGGACCCUACGGGUUCGAGAACAAUGUAGACAUGACCGAGACACGUCUCCGGUCAAUAACCAAUAGCAGAACCUGGAUGCUCAUAUUUGCUCCCACAUAUUCUAUGAAGAUCUUUAUCGGUCAGUCCGCAUAACAACAUACGUUGUUCCCUUUGUCAUCGGUAUGUUACUUGCCCGAGAUUCGAUCGUCGGUAUCUCAAUACCUAGUUCAAUUUUGUUACCGGCAAGUCUCUUUACUCGUUUCGUAAUACAUCAUUUCGCAACUAACUCAUUAGUUGUAAUGCUUGCAAGGCUUAUGUGAUGUGCAUUACCGAGAGGGCCCAGAGAUACCUCUCCGACAAUCGGAGUGAAAAAUCCUAAUCUCGAAAUACGCCAACCCAACAUGUACCUUCGGAGACACCUGUAGAGCUCCUUUAUAAUCACCCAGUUACAUUGUGACGUUUGGUAGCACACAAAGUGUUCCUCCGGCAAACGGGAGUUGCAUAAUCUCAUAGUCAUAGGAACAUGUAUAAGUCAUAAAGAAAGCAAUAGCAACAUACUAGACGAUCGGGUGCUAAGCUAAUGGAAUGGGUCAUGUCAAUCACACCAUUCUCCUAAUGAUGUGAUCUCAUUAAUCAAAUGACAACACAUGUCUAUGGUUAGGAAACAUAACCAUCUUCGAUUAACGAGCUAGUCAAGUAGAGGCAUACUAGUGACACUCUGUUUGUCUAUGUAUUCACACAUGUAUUAUGUUUCCGGUUAACACAAUUCUAGCAUGAAUAAUAAACAUUUAUCAUGAUAUAAGGAAAUAAAUAAUAACUUUAUUAUUGCCUCUAGGGCAUAUUUCCUUCACUAUGAUGUCUCUUACCGAUCUACCGCUGUCAUUUUGGGGCUAUGCUUUAGAGACUGCCGCAUUCACUUUAAAUAGGGCUCCGUCAAAAUCCGUUGAGACGACACCGUAUGAAUUAUGGUUUGGGAAGAAACCUAAGCUGUCGUUUCUAAAAGUUUGGGGAUGCGAUGCUUAUGUCAAGAAACUUCAACCUGAAAAGCUCAAACCCAAAUCGGAAAACGCGUCUUCAUAGGAUACCCUAAAGAAACUAUUGGGUAUACCUUCUACCUCAGAUCCAAAGGCAAGAUCUUUGUUGCCAAGAAUGGGUCCUUUCUAGAGAAAGAGUUUCUCUCGAAAGAAAUAAGUGGGAGGAAAGUAGAAGUUGAUGAAGUAUUACCUCUUGAACCGGUAAGUGGCGCAGCUCAAGAAAAUGUUCCUGAGGUGCCUGUACUGACUAGAGAGGAAGUUGAUGAUGAUGAUCAUGAAACUUCAGAUCAAGUUGCUACUGAACUUCGUAGGUCCACGAGGACACGUUCCGCACCAGAGUGGUACGGCAACCCUGUCUUGGAAAUCAUGUUGUUAGACAACGGUGAACCUUCAAACUAUGAAGAAGCAAUGGCGGGCCCAGAUUCUGACAAAUGGCUGGAAGCCAUGAAAUCCGAGAUAGGAUCCAUGUAUGAAAAUGAAGUAUGGACUUUGACUGACUUGCCCGAUGAUCGGCGAGCCAUAGAAAAUAAAUGGAUCUUUAAGAAGAAGACAGACGCGGAUGGUAACGUAACCAUCUAUAAAGCUCGGCUUGUCGCUAAGGGUUAUCGACAAGUUCAAGGGGUUGACUACGAUGAGACUUUCUCACCCGUAGCGAAACUGAAGUCCGUCCGAAUCAUGUUAGCAAUUGCCGCAUUCUAUGAUUAUGAGAUAUGGCAAAUGGACAUCAAAACGGCAUUCCUUAAUGGUUUCCUUAAGGAAGAAUUGUAUAUGAUGCAGCCGGAAGGUUUUGUCGAUCCUAAGAAUGCUGACAAGGUGUGCAAGCUCCAACGCUCGAUUUAUGGGCUGGUGCAAGCAUCUCGGAGUUGGAACAUUCGUUUUGAUGAGAUGAUCAAAGUGUUUGGGUUUACGCAGACUUAUGGAGAAGCCUGCAUUUACAAGAAAGUGAGUGGGAGCUCUGUAGCAUUUCUCAUAUUGUAUGUCGAUGACAUACUGUUGAUGGGAAAUGAUAUAGAAUUCUUGGGAAGCAUAAAGGCCUACUUGAACAAGUGUUUUUCAAUGAAGGACCUUGGAGAAGCUGCUUAUAUAUUAGGCAUCAAGAUCUAUAGAGAUAGAUCGAGACGUCUCAUUGGUCUUUCACAGAGUACGUACCUUGACAAGAUAUUGAAGAAGUUCAAAAUGGAUCAGUCAAAAAAGGGGUUCUUGUCUGUAUUGCAAGGUACGAGAUUGAGCAUGGCUCAAUGCCCGACCACGGCAGAAGAUAGAGAAAAGAUGAGUGUCGUCCCCUAUGCCUCGGCCAUAGGGUCUAUCAUGUAUGCUAUGCUGUGUACCAGACCUGAUGUUAACCUUGCCGUAAGUUUGGUAGGAAGGUACCAAAGUAAUCCCGACAUGAAACACUGGACAGCGGUCAAGAAUAUCCUGAAGUACCUGAAAAGGACUAAGGAUAUGUUUCUCGUUUAUGGAGGUGACGAAGAGCUCGUCGUAAAGGGUUACGUCUAUGCUAGCUUCGACACAUACACUACUAGGAAAAUGGCUAUAGAUGGGAUUGACACUAAUGGCGCACCAGAAAGAUGGUGCGCCAUUAGUAUAUACUAAUGGCGCACCACAAUCUGAUGCGCCAUUAGAGUUUAAACAACUAAUGGCGCACCAUGCUACGGGUGCGCCAUUAGUAUCAAAUUUUUUUUUAACUAGUGCGCAUGUCCAAACAUACUAAUGGCGCAUCCCGGCAAAGUGCGCCAUUAGUAGUUGUAACUACUAAUGGCGCACUAGGCAGCAGGUGCGCCAUUAGUAUAGAAUUUUUUUUUGAACUAGUGCGCCUAUCCAAACAUACUAAUGGCGCAUCCUGCCCAAGUGCGCCAUUAGUAGUUGUAACUACUAAUGGCGCACCAGGCAGUGGGUGCGCCAUUAGUAUAGGAUUUUUUUUUUGAACUAGUGCGCCUAUCCAAACAUACUAAUGGCGCAUCCUGCCCAAGUGCGCCAUUAGUAGUUGUAAGUACUAAUGGCGCACCAUGCAAGAGGUGCGCCAUUAGUAAGUGGGCAGCAACAAGAUAUUUAGGACAGCCUCUCCUACCCACACACUCACUUUCUCCCCACUUCAUUCUCUCCACCUCCUCCUUGUCUCGGGUGCCUCCUCUUUUUCACCUCAUUUCCACCAUAGAUUCAUUCAAAUUAAGUGGUUAAAUUACCUUGUUUUAAUAGGUAAGUAAGAGGGAAGCUAUAUUUAGGUUGUUCUCCUUACAACAAUGUGCACAUGCACUUUUUACGGCCUAGCUAGAUCUAUGUAUGUUCGUGGUGUUGCAUAUGUUUGUGGUGUUGCAUAUGUGUUUGUGUUUGGAGGUGUACCGGUAUUUGAUAUGCGAUAGUUGCCAAUAUUUUGCCGGAAUGUUGAUUCAUUUCCGUUUCGGCGAGAAUUUUGGCAUUAAGCAUUCUUUUUGGUCCUAUUUUUAGGGAAGGUCAUGCCAAAUUUUUGUUUGGUUCUAAAAUAUCGUUUUGCUCUACCCCGCAGGCGACCAUGGUCCGCACGAUGACCGAAGGCAUCGUGAAUAGGUUUUUGAGGUCCGCGAAGGCCGAGAUGCUUCAAAAGAACGAGACAGAGAUAAGAUGUCCGUGUCGAAGAUGCAAGCUGAAGAGCCUUAUUGUGGACCCGGAUUCCGGGCAGGUGCGGGACCACCUGCUGUUGCGUGGUUUCAUGGAUGGCUAUCGGUGGCAAGGUGAUGAAGAUGACUACGAAGUCGUCCAUGCGGGCCGGGCAAGAAAUGAGGAAGGGCAGCAAGACAACCACCACGGCUCGGGCGGGCGAGAAGACGAAGAAUCCCCAGGAGAUGAUCACGACUGUGAUGCUGUACACAGUCAUCAUGUAGAAGAUGCAGGACAUGAUGAUGAGGAAGAUGCCGGAGCAGGCGACGGGCAUGAUCAUGAAGAUGAUGAUGCCGGCGGAGCAGACGACGCUGGACCAUCGAUGGGCUGGGUGCAGGACCCUCAUAUUCAAGAGCUGCUUCUCAAGCAGACGGAUAACGCAAGAGCUGCCGCCCGAGAGAAAGCCAAAAUGGAUCAACUUGAGUUAGACGCGGUUACUCCAUUGUAUGAAGGAUGCAGGCCCGAGGAUACCCGCCUGAAAGUAACGCUCAUGGCCCUGGAGAUGAAGGUAAAACACAAAAUGACCGACGCAUGCUUCGACGAGAACAUGUCAUUCUGGCAUGAACGUCUUCCCAAGGGGAACAAGUGCCCGACCAGUUUGGAGGAGGCGAAGAAAAUCGUGUGUCCUCUGGAUUUACCGCACGUGAAAUACCAUGUGUGCAUGAACAAUUGCAUCAUUUAUCGGGACGAGCAUGCGGGGUCUACAAUAUGUCCGGUGUGCGGUGUCACUCGAUACAAGAAGAGGAAGAAAACUCCUCGAAAAGUGGUGUGGUACUUUCCGAUCACUCCUCGUCUGCAGCGGUAUUUCGCGGAUCCUAAGGUAGCAAAGCUCCUACGUUGGCACGCGGAUAGGGAGGAGAAGAAGCGAGAAGAUGACGCAAAUGAUCCGGAGAUAGAUAAAAAAGACAAGAUGCUGAGUCACCCUAAGGAUGCGAGCCAGUGGCAAGCAUUGAACUUCGAAUACCUAGAAUUUGGGAACGAUCCAAGGAACAUCGUGCUGGGCGCGAGCACCGAUGGAGUCAAUCCGUUUGGCAGCCAGAGAAGCACACAUAGCACCUGGCCUGUGUUUGUGUGGAUGUACAACCUUCCCCCCUGGUUGUGCAUGAAGAGGAAGUACAUUCACAUGAGUAUGCUAAUUGAAGGGCCGAAACAACCAGGGAACGACAUCAAUCUGUAUCUGGGGCUGCUGAAAGAGGAGCUUGACACGCUGUGGAAAACGCCAGCCAAUACGUGGGACGCCGCAGAGAAAGAAUAUUUCCCUAUGAGAGCCGCACUGCUCACGACGGUGCACGACUAUCUCGGUUACGGAUAUCUUGCGGGGCAGGUAGUCCACGGAUUUUCUGGAUGCGUAAGGUGCAUGGAUGACACAACGUAUCGCCAGCUAGAUAGAGAUCCCGGGUCUUUGAAAACCGUGUUCAUGGGACAUCGAAGGUGGCUUCGCGACAAUGACCCGUGGAGGAAACGCAAGGAUCUGUUCGAUGGUGAAACCGAACCCCGAAAACGCCCAUGUACGAGGAGCGGCGAGGAAAUAGACAAGCUGUUGAAAAAUUGGAAAGACUGCCCACUGCCGGGAAAGAAGCAAAAGGCGCCAGAGCCGGGAAAGAAGCGAAAGGCGCCAGAGCCGCUGCUGAAGGUAUGGAAAACGAGGUCUGUUUUCUGGGACUUGCCGUACUGGAAGAUCCACCGUGUGCCUCACAGCCUUGAUGUCAUGCAUAUCACGAAGAACGUGUGCGAGAGUCUGCUUGGUACCCUGCUCAACAUGCCAGAGAGGACCAAAGAUGGGCCGAAAGCAAGGGCAGACUUGAAAUCAAUGGGCAUCAGGCAGGAGCUUCACGCUAUAUAUGAUGAUGAUGAUGAUGAUGAUGAUGAUGAUGAUGAUGAUGAGGCGAAGCAGGACACAGAAAGUCGUCGCAAAGGCAAAAAGGCCAAGAAGACCGGAAAUGACUACCCUCCCGCGUGCUUCACUCUAAGUCAGGAGGAGAUCGAGCAGUUUUUCACCUGCCUCCUAGGAGUAAAACUUCCUUACGGUUACGCGGGGAAGAUAAGCAGAUACCUAGACCCAGCGAAGCAGAAGUUCAUCGGGAUGAAGUCUCACGACUGUCACGUGCUGAUGACGCAGAUACUUCCAGUUGCAAUCCGUGGGAUCAUGGACGCGCACGUCCGUGAAACGCUAUUUGGCCUAUGCAACUUCUUCGACGUCAUCUCUCGGAAGUCGAUUGGCGUGAGGCAACUCAGAAGGCUACAUGAAGAGAUCGUGGUGAUACUAUGCGAGCUUGAGAUGUACUUCCCGCCCGCAUUCUUCGACGUUAUGGUGCAUCUGCUGGUCCAUAUAGUGGAGGAUAUCAUCCAACUCGGGCCGACGUUCCUGCACAGCAUGAUGCCGUUCGAAAGGAUGAAUGGUGUCAUCAAAGGAUACGUUCGCAACAUGUCACGUCCAGAAGGAAGCAUAGCCAGGGGCUUUCUGACCGAAGAGUGCAUCUCCUACUCCACGAAUUAUCUAGGCAUCGAGAACCCCGUUGGUCUGCCCGUCAACAGGCACCUCGGCAGGCUCGCUGGAUGGGGUCACCGUGAGGGUCGCCGCGAAAUGCAUGUCGACUUCGAGGGUCGACUCGCCGACUUUGAAAGAGCAAACCUAGUCGCGCUACAACACAUAGACGUGGUCGAUCCUUGGUUGGUAGAGCACAAAACCUUUAUUAAAAAGACGUACAAUGACCGAGGCCAACAGAGGACGGACGGAGAUAUACUCAAAGAGCACAACUCAUGUUUCACGCGUUGGUUCAAGCAUAAGCUUCUGUCGUACCCUUUACAUGAGGAUUCUUCCGCGGAAGAACAACUCAUAUUCGCCUUGUCACAGGGCGCCGAGCACAACCUGAUGACCUAUGAGGCGUACGAUAUCAACGGCUACACAUUCUACACCGAGGCCAAGGACAUGAAGAGCGAUGGUUAUCAGAACUCCGGGGUAACGAUGGAAUCCUACACCGGUAACGACAAGGACAGAUACUACGGAAGGAUCGAGGAGAUCUGGGAGCUGAGCUACACUGGAGAGAAGGUCCCGAUGUUCCGUGUCAGAUGGGCCAAGAACGUCAUAAAAGAAGACCGGUAUUUCACCACCAUGGUUAUACCCGAAGCCAAAUCCAAGACCGCGGGCGCAAACGUCACCGCGAAAAAUGAGCCAUGGGUACUGGCUUCCCAAGUGGACCAAUGCUUCUUCAUUACCGACCCGCCAAAGCCCAGUCGUGUUGUCGUGAGGAGAGGCAAAAGGAAGAUCAUCCGAAUGGAUGGAGUAGCCAAUGAGCAAGACUUCGACAAGUACGGCGACCCGAGGAUCGAACAUGACGACGAUGAUGAAGUAGCAGCAUACACCACAAGAAGAAGCAGGACCACCCUACCUAAAGGACGUCCGUUCCACAGAAGAACUCCAUUUGCGAAAAAGAAGGGCAAGAAGAUUGUGAACAGAUAGCUAGCUAAGAUCGAUUGUAUUUAAAUCGUAGCCUUCAUUUCUUGAUUGUAUUUCAUGGGNNNNNNNNNNNNNNNNNNNNNNNNNNNNNNNNNNNNNNNNNNNNNNNNNNNNNNNNNNNNNNNNNNNNNNNNNNNNNNNNNNNNNNNNNNNNNNNNNNNNNNNNNNNNNNNNNNNNNNNNNNNNNNNNNNNNNNNNNNNNNNNNNNNNNNNNNNNNNNNNNNNNNNNNNNNNNNNNNNNNNNNNNNNNNNNNNNNNNNNNNNNNNNNNNNNNNNNNNNNNNNNNNNNNNNNNNNNNNNNNNNNNNNNNNNNNNNNNNNNNNNNNNNNNNNNNNNNNNNNNNNNNNNNNNNNNNNNNNNNNNNNNNNNNNNNNNNNNNNNNNNNNNNNNNNNNNNNNNNNNNNNNNNNNCUUUUUAAAUGCUAAAAAAAAAUUUGUGGAGCCCACCUCGAUCCCCCUCCAUCUCGACCGCUAUCCCACCUCGCCAGGUCCGGUCCCCCUCGGCGCCGAGCACCCCCCAAGUCCACCGGCCGCCGCCGCCGACCCACCGCACCCUCGAUUCCCCUACCCAACCGCCGCCGCCGACCCCCCGCACCCCGCGCACCAUCUUAUAAAAAAAAUAAGUAUCAAAUAGCUUUUUAAAUGCUAUUGUCUUAUAAAAAAAUAUUACUGUUAUUAUUUAAACAAGUUUGAACAUAUUUAAACAUAAAUAAGUAUCAAACAGCUUUUUAAAUGAUAAAAAAAAAUUUGUGGAGCCUGGGAGUCGAACCCAGGACCUCCUGGUGUGAGAACUGGCUACUGACCAGUCGAGCUAGUAGAGUGGGCUUGACGUGCAUAGGUUUUGGUAGUACAUAACCUUUUGGCUCGAGUUGAAAUAAAAAAAAGUACUAAUGGCGCACCACGGUGAGGUGCGCCAUUAGUAUGGACAUGCUAAUGGCGCACCACGGUGAGGUGCGCCAUUAGUAUUGUGGCCCGAUCCCCCUUGGCCCGAUCCCCCCUUCGCCCGAUCCCCCCUUCCCUCUCCCCCUCGCCAGUUCUCUCCCUCUCGAUCCACCGCCGCCGCCGCCGNNNNNNNNNNNNNNNNNNNNNNNNNNNNNNNNNNNNNNNNNNNNNNNNNNNNNNNNNNNNNNNNNNNNNNNNNNNNNNNNNNNNNNNNNNNNNNNNNNNNNNNNNNNNNNNNNNNNNNNNNNNNNNNNNNNNNNNNNNNNNNNNNNNNNNNNNNNNNNNNNNNNNNNNNNNNNNNNNNNNNNNNNNNNNNNNNNNNNNNNNNNNNNNNNNNNNNNNNNNNNNNNNNNNNNNNNNNNNNNNNNNNNNNNNNNNNNNNNNNNNNNNNNNNNNNNNNNNNNNNNNNNNNNNNNNNNNNNNNNNNNNNNNNNNNNNNNNNNNNNNNNNNNNNNNNNNNNNNNNNNNNNNNNNNNNNNNNNNNNNNNNNNNNNNNNNNNNNNNNNNNNNNNNNNNNNNNNNNNNNNNNNNNNNNNNNNNNNNNNNNNNNNNNNNNNNNNNNNNNNNNNNNNNNNNNNNNNNNNNNNNNNNNNNNNNNNNNNNNNNNNNNNNNNNNNNNNNNNNNNNNNNNNNNNNNNNNNNNNNNNNNNNNNNNNNNNNNNNNNNNNNNNNNNNNNNNNNNNNNNNNNNNNNNNNNNNNNNNNNNNNNNNNNNNNNNNNNNNNNNNNNNNNNNNNNNNNNNNNNNNNNNNNNNNNNNNNNNNNNNNNNNNNNNNNNNNNNNNNNNNNNNNNNNNNNNNNNNNNNNNNNNNUUUAAUUCCCGAUAAUUGGGUUUACACUGGAGUAUUUUAUUUCUGUGGGGAGAGGGAGAGAAGCCAGUGCAGGGUGUGGGAAGCACCUCUUCAUGUGAUUUUUUUUGCUUUAUUGUGUAAUUUUUUUUCUUGAGGCCCUGACCGUAGAACAACCGUUCUAUGGUAUUUUUUUCAAUUAUGUACAAACAGUUACAAGGUUGGAAAAGGAAAAGGUCUAUAAAACUUCAGUUUUUGCUAACAUUAGGAGAUUAAAGGUCCCUUGUGAUGUAUUUAUGUAAAUUGUGUUAAAGGGGGACUAAAAUGCAAAGCUUCUGACUUGAAGAUCCAACUAUUCUGGCUAUGAACAAGAAUAAAUUUUAGAGAGAUUCCAUGAAAGGAUUAUAAGUUGUUGUUGAUCCAAGUGUUGAAGGGAUCUACUUUCCUUUGCUUUGAUAUGUAUGCCGGACAGCCUCUUUACAGGUAGAGAUACCCUGUUCAAGGACAGGGGGGCGGGGGUGUGAACUUUGUGAAAUCCUGUCCUAUUGAUGACUUUGCAAACUUAUUAGGAGGUGGUGUUAGGAAAUCUAAACAGUUUAAACUAUAUAGGAAGACAUUUAUAGGUUAGAAACAAUCUGUUCUACUUCUGCAGAUUAUCUAGAUAAGUGAUGAAGUUUACUUAGUAUAGUAUUUUUUUUCUGUCACUUCUUUAUCUACCGAAAGUGUGAACCCAUGGUAUGAGCCACUAAUGCAAGCAUCGUCAUUCUUUUCUGAGUUUGUCUAAUUCACAUCUAAAUGUUUUCUAAGGAUGUCACAUCUAAGCUCCCACAAAUAACGCAGCAACAAGGAACAAAAAAAAGCUGGGGCAAAAAAAAUACACCACAAACAUAGUGGACACAAGGUUAGACGUGACAUAAAUGUGUCCUAGACAGACCCUUCUUUUCUUAGUGAAACAUCAACUUUCCAAAGACAAUAUUCCAAACUGGACAGUUGAUACAUAGAGCUAUUUUACUUUAACAUUUAAAGUGUGGCUGCAAAUCUGGGAUGCAGGAGGUGAAAAUUCAUUGUCUAAUCUGUUUCUCAGUUUCCUCUUUCAGAAACGAGAGAUUUUUCAAGACCUUGCUCCACUGCUGUGGCACUCCUUUGGCACUGUUGCUGCACUGCUCCAGGUAGGUUACAGUUAUUGCACUGUUCUAAAUUCAGUCGCAAUGGCAAGAGUACAUAUGUACUUGUGCAGUUCUUGUUAUUUAAGUAAGGGUGGUUGUCCAUGGUACUGAGCGCUGCUGUUUCUAUGCCAAGUCUUAAAUAUUUCCAUUGUUUAUUGUUAAAAAGCUUUCCUCAUUUUGGUGACUUUAUAGAAUAAGUAAAUCUUAACUAGCAGUGGUUAAUAAUUAAGUCUUCUUUUUCCUUUGCAGCUCACAUCCCACUGUACCUGUACCCGUUCCUGAAUACUACCAGCAAGACAAGACCUUUUGAGUACUUGAGGCUUACCAGCUUGGGUGUUAUUGGUGCUCUUGUGAAGGUAAAUUAAAACUAGAUACUUAUGCAAACUAGGAAUGGAUGGUCCAUAUAGAUUUUUGCUUUAAAUGGUGAGAGGGUUGUUGAACCAGAGGGGAAAACAGUGAUGGGGAUUGGCUGUAUUCUUUCUUUUUUUUGUAGACUAUAUCUUGUUCUUUUGGUAUUCUCAUUCCAGUAAUCCAGUCAUUUUAAUCAAAUGGACUGGUUGGGAUUGGAUCCCAGGAAUCUCAACAGGAACUGUUAUUUUUGAAGCAAACAGGCUAAUGAUUUGUUAGAAAUUAUAUUGUUUCUUCUUUUGGAUAUCCGAUUCUGAUAUGUCAGAAACACAACAUAUCAAAAGUUAGCAAUGACCAAACUGGCAUGUAACAGAGACACUAUAAAAGAUAGCCAACAUCCAGUUAGGCCAACAUAACAGUGAACAAAACUACUGUCAAUCAGCUCAGUUCUAGUGCUGUUGGAUUUUUCUCGAUUGUAUUCUUGCAGUUUUGAAAAUUCAGUUUAUUCGGUUACUGAAAAUUCAGUUAAUUCAGUUAGGCACACAAAUUUCAGAACUUUUGUGUGCCCUAGUACUUGGUGUUUGUAGAAAACCAGGAGUGUCAAUGGGACUAGAAUUCACUUGUUCUUAUCUGGGUUUGUAAAACUUGUUCAUGUACUGAACUACUAAUGCCUUGUGAUUCUCUGAAUUACUUGUGAUGCCUCUGAAUUACUUGUGAUCACAUUGAGAAAGACUUGUAAAGAUGAUGAUCAUCUUUAACAGAAAACAAUUUGUGAUGAUUUUGCUAGUUUGCUGGGUUUUGUCUCCGACCAUCAUGUCGUGAUGAUUUUGCAGGUACCCCGAGAGGCCCUUGAGUUUGCCGGAAUGUCGAUUAACUUCCGUUCCGGCAAAUUCGGGUACUCCAUAUGUCCUAUUUUCAGCAAAGGUCAUGCUGAAAUUUUCCGUGAAUUUUAGCAUGACUUUGCUAAAAAUAGGACAUAUGGGGUACUUGUGACUAAUGCAUGGGCCGGGGUAUCUUAGUAGUUAAUUAAGUAGGAUCAAGUGCCCCGGCGUACUUGUGACUAAUGCAUGGGCCGGGGUAUCUUAGUAGUUAAUUAAGUAGGAUCAAGUGCCCCGGCGUACUUGUGACUAAUGCAUGGCUUUUAGGGUGCCUCGGUGUCGAUAAAAACCGAAAUGAUGAAAAGUUAGGCUUUUAGGGUGCCUUGGCGUCGAAAAACCCUCAAUGAUAAAAGCUUAGAUUUUAGGAUGCCUCGGUGUCGACAAACCCUAAAUGAUGAGACCAUGAUCUUGUUCCUUGACAAUAACCAACUUUUUGACCAAACUUUGUUUCUAUUUAGAGAGAAACAUGGCCCACAACGAUGAGGCCGGGGGUUCGGGCGGCAAGGCAUUCUGGGAGCUGUCCCAGGAGAUGGAGGAACAACCUCACUUGUAUGAGGCCGCCGCCUUCCCCACCGAUCUUGAGACCACGGAUGGUGCCGCCGAGGAUGACCACACUGAUGCCACCACUGAUGGUGCCGCCGAGGAUGCCACCACUGAUGAUGGCGGCGCACGCACAGAUAGCAGCCAGCCGAAGAGGCAACGGAAGGACCGGCGCCCGAUCGUGCUCCGCACCCUCAAGGAGGAAGUUACUGAAUGGACUCCAACGGGAAUCCAACGGCGCCCGAACGAAUAGUCAAGGGGUACUCGCUUCAGCUCGGGUGCAUUGUCCGGAGCACCGUCUCGAUCAACACCGAGAACCUGAGGCAUCCUGACCGGGGGAAUUUGCGCCACCUCCUCUUCACGAAGCUGCACGAACGAUACAAGUUCCCCGCUGAAUUCAAAAACACAAGCCUCAAAGGGAAUAAAGUGAACAAUGCUGCCCUCACGAAGAUGAGCAAGGCCCUGUCUACUUGGAAAAGCAAUGUGAAGAGAAUGAUCGAGAAAGGUGAGAGUUAUGAGAAGAUCAAGGAGAAAAAUCCUUCGAUCACCGAAGAUGACUACAACGACUUCAAGAUCAAUUGCUCGAGCACCGCAAGCUCCCAAUCAAGUGAGUGGGGGAAACAAAUGCGGGAGCUGAACAUAGGGGAACACACACUCGGUCCCGGCGGUUACAGAGUGGCGGAGCCUAUAUGGGACAAGGAGGAGGCGGACCGUGCCGAGCAAGGCCUACCGCCCCUCUUCGAUAAAUACGGUGACAAGCAGACCAGGAACUUUGUCAGGGCCCGGUACAAGAAGGACCCGAAAACAAAGGAGCUUACCACGGAUCCGAAGACCAGGCAGCUUGAGCUUGUUCUGGUAAGGAAUACACCCCCGCGUAAUUAGCUCAUAUGGUUGCAUUCUAAUUAAUGAAGCCGAAUUUCUAAAUGGUUCACAUUCCUUCCGCAGGCGACUGAAAGCAGUAGCGCGGGGUCGACUCAGAGCAACCCUUGGGACACCACUCUAAAUAGGGGGUUGAAUAUAAUGAAGAACAAGGAUAAGCUCAGUAAGCCGACGUCAGCUGGUCGUGUGGCCGGCAAAGGCUUGUCGACAAAAUGGGGGUCAUACUAUACCGCUGGUGUGCGGAAGGAGAAAAAGACCAGCUCGGAAAGCCAGGCGCGAGAGGUUCAAGAACUCAAGGCACAGGUGGCGCGGAUUCCGGAGAUUGUCCAAGAGCAAGUGGAACAACGACUCGGAGCGACGAUCACCGCCCUUGUGCCUACCUUGAUCUCGGGGUUGAGUGCGUGGAUUGCGGGCGGCCAACAGGGGCCGCCCCCGAUUCCUAGCUUCACGGCCAGCAACUCGCAUAAUGCGAUGGCGGGGCCAUUGGUGCCUCCGGCGGAUGCGGCAUUGGUGUCUCCGACGCCGGCACGGGAGCUUAAUGCACCCAGGUGUACGCCGGCCGGCACCUCUUCAGCAAGCGGCCGCUCCGUCAACUGCACGCCCGCCGUUGGCGGUGCCUCGACAUUAGCCGAGCUCGACGCCAUCAUCACGGUAACUAAUUAAGCCUCUCUCGGCCGAGGACUUCAUCUCCUUGCCUUUGACUGGGCAUCCCUGACGCCCUACAUGUUUUCGCAGGGCGCCGCCGACGUUCCGUGCACUCUCCUCCACUUCGUGAACAACGAGUUGGUCGAUGUCGCCAAGGGCAAAAUCGUUCAACCGGGCAACCCCUUGUUCCACGGUACCCAGAUGCCACCCAACUUGUUUAGGGUUCAACUGGUUCGGGUGCUGCCAGGCUGCGACGACUUGUUACCUCCGAUUCGACCCGUCGGGGCCGACAAUGAUGACGUGAUGACCCUCAGCGCCUGCCUGAGCUGGCCCCUGCUUUGGCCGAAGAGCCAGAUUCGUUUGGGGGCGGGGGACACCACCCCAAAGACAACACCGCCAGUCGUGCCGGCGCCAAGUCGGCCCCAUGGCAAGACCGCUGUAACGGUGCCGGACAUCCCUAUGCCACUGGAUCCAAACAUGCAUAUGGCACAGGAUCAGAACGACGACGACGACGACGAUGAUACAUUUGGCAACGUCGAUCAGUACUUUGCCGAGCAUGGGUACGAUGGCGACUUCAUGGGGCCUCCUUCUCAAGAACCAAACCCAACAAAAGACGUGUGCGAUCUAGCUCGUACCGCGAAGAAGCCAAGUUGCAACAGGCGCCGUCUGGCGUUCAGCUCUCAGGAGACGCCUCCAGCUGCCGACUUCACCGAGCCUCAGAUAGGCGAGGUGCGAAAUAUUAUCAGCCCCAACACACUCAAGAAGGCGGUCUGUGAGCAGAACUCGGUCCCAUUACAGGAGAAGAAGAAGGCACGCAAAAGAAAGACUAAGAAGGGUGCGAGCCAGCCGGCACCGAGUACGAUCCGUGCUCAGGACGGGCCACCUUCACCGCAGGAUAUCUCGAGGAGGGUGCAUGUGGUGGGUAGGGCGAUGCUACCACCAAAUAUGCUCAAUGCUGCAACCGGUGCUAUGCGGAGUCUGCACGACAGUGUUCUUUCUUUGGAGAAGCGGCGUCUCAGAGAGAAGGAUGUGGCAUACCCGGUUUUCGUGGCCAAGGUGCCAGAGGGCAAGGGCUUUGUGGAUGGCGACAUCGGGGGUACGAUCGUCCUGCGGUUUGAUGACAUCUUUGCUAUGUUUAACCUUCAUCCGCUGCACUACACCUUCGUUCGGCUAUUUUCGCUGAGUAUGGAGAUGCGGAUCAUUCGCGACAAGACCCCGGACAUCGUGAUAGUCGACCCCUUCUACAUGCGUGCCAAGAUCUUGGGCAGCGCUGGGGACCGGCAAGUCGCGAGUUCUUACCUCGAAGGCGUCAUUCUGGCAAACCAAGAUAAGGAUAACUUCCUCGUGCCUUACUUUCCCGAGUAAGUCCUCCCCUCAACCNNNNNNNNNNAAAUUCGGGUACUCCAUAUGUCCUAUUUUCAGCAAAGGUCAUGCUGAAAUUUUCCGUGAAUUUUAGCAUGACUUUGCUAAAAAUAGGACAUAUGGGGUACUUGUGACUAAUGCAUGGGCCGGGGUAUCUUAGUAGUUAAUUAAGUAGGAUCAAGUGCCCCGGCGUACUUGUGACUAAUGCAUGGCUUUUAGGGUGCCUCGGUGUCGAUAAAAACCGAAAUGAUGAAAAGUUAGGCUUUUAGGGUGCCUUGGCGUCGAAAAACCCUCAAUGAUAAAAGCUUAGAUUUUAGGAUGCCUCGGUGUCGACAAACCCUAAAUGAUGAGACCAUGAUCUUGUUCCUUGACAAUAACCAACUUUUUGACCAAACUUUGUUUCUAUUUAGAGAGAAACAUGGCCCACAACGAUGAGGCCGGGGGUUCGGGCGGCAAGGCAUUCUGGAAGCUGUCCCAGGAGAUGGAGGAACAACCUCACUUGUAUGAGGCCGCCGCCUUCCCCACCGAUCCUAAGACCACGGAUGGUGCCGCCGAGGAUGACCACACUGAUGCCACCACUGAUGGUGCCGCCGAGGAUGCCACAACUGAUGAUGGCGGUGCACGCACAGAUAGCAGCCAGCCGAAGAGGCAACGGAAGGACCGGCGCCCGAUCGUGCUCCGCACCCUCAAGGAGGAAGUUACUGAAGUGGACUCCAACGGGAAUCCAACGGCGCCCGAACGAAUAGUCAAGGGGUACUCGCUUCAGCUCGGGUGUAUUGUCCGGAGCACCGUCUCGAUCAACACCGAGAACCUGAGGCAUCCUGACCGGGGGAAUUUGCGCCACCUCCUCUUCACGAAGCUGCACGAACGAUACAAGUUCCCCGCUGAAUUCGAAAACACAAGCCUCAAAGGGAAUAAAGUGAACAAUGCUGCCCUCACGAAGAUGAGCAAGGCCCUGUCUACUUGGAAAAGCAAUGUGAAGAGAAUGAUCGAGAAAGGUGAGAGUUAUGAGAAGAUCAAGGAGAAAAAUCCUUCGAUCACCGAAGAUGACUACAACGACUUCAAGAUCAAUUGCUCGAGCACCGCAAGCUCCCAAUCAAGUGAGUGGGGGAAACAAAUGCGGGAGCUGAACAUAGGGGAACACACACUCGGUCCCGGCGGUUACAGAGUGGCGGAGCCUAUAUGGGACAAGGAGGAGGCGGACCGUGCCGAGCAAUGCCCCUCUUCGAUAAAUACGGUGACAAGCAGACCAGGAACUUUGUCAGGGCCCGGUACAAGAAGGACCCGAAAACAAAGGAGCUUACCACGGAUCCGAAGACCAGGCAGCUUGAGCUUGUUCUGGUAAGGAAUACACCCCCGCGUAAUUAGCUCCAUAUGGUUGCAUUCUAAUUAAUGAAGCCGAAUUUCUAAAUGGUUCACAUUCCUUCCGCAGGCGACUGAAAGCAGUAGCGCGGGGUCGACUCAGAGCAACCCUUGGGACACCACUCUAAAUAGGGGGUUGAAUAUAAUGAAGAACAAGGAUAAGCUCAGUAAGCCGACGUCAGCUGGUCGUGUGGCCGGCAAAGGCUUGUCGACAAAAUGGGGGUCAUACUAUACCGCUGGUGUGCGGAAGGAGAAAAAGACCAGCUCGGAAAGCCAGGCGUGAGAGGUUCAAGAACUCAAGGCACAGGUGGCGCGGAUUCCGGAGAUUGUCCAAGAGCAAGUGGAACAACGACUCGGAGCGACGAUCACCGCCCUUGUGCCUACCUUGAUCUUGGGGUUGAGUGCGUGGAUUGCGGGCGGCCAACAGGGGCCGCCCCCGAUUCCUAGCUUCACGGCCAGCAACUCGCAUAAUGCGAUGGCGGGGCCAUUGGUGCCUCCGGCGGAGGCGGCAUUGGUGUCUCCGACGCCGGCAUGGGAGCUUAAUGCACCCGGGUGUACGCCGGCCGGCACCUCUUCAGCAAGCGGCCGCUCCGUCAACUGCACGCCCGCCGUUGGCGGUGCCUCGACAUUAGCCGAGCUCGACGCCAUCAUCACGGUAACUAAUUAAGCCUCUCUCGGCCGAGGACUUCAUCUCCUUGCCUUUGACUGGGCAUCCCUGACGCCCUACAUGUUUUCGCAGGGCGCCGCCGACGUUCCGUGCACUCUCCUCCACUUCGUGAACAACGAGUUGGUCGAUGUCGCCAAGGGCAAAAUCGUUCAACCGGGCAACCCCUUGUUCCACGGUACCCAGAUGCCACCCAACUUGUUUAGGGUUCAACUGGUUCGGGUGCUGCCAGGCUGCGACGACUUGUUACCUCCGAUUCGACCCGUCGGGGCCGACGAUGAUGACGUGAUGACCCUCAGCGCCUGCCUGAGCUGGCCCCUGCUUUGGCCGAAGAUCCAGAUUCGUUUGGGGGCGGGGGACACCACCCCAAAGACAACACCGCCAGUCGUGCCGGCGCCAAGUCGGCCCCAUGGCAAGACCGUCGUAACAGUGCCGGACAUCCCUAUGCCACUGGAUCCAAACAUGCAUAUGGCACAGGAUCAGAACGACGACGACGACGACGAUACAUUUGGCAACGUCGAUCAGUACUUUGCCGAGCAUGGGUACGAUGGCGACUUCAUGGGGCCUCCUUCUCAAGAACCAAACCCAACAAAAGACGUGUGCGAUCUAGCUCGUACCGCGGAGAAGCCAAGUUGCAACAGGCGCCGUCUGGCGUUCAGCUCUCAGGAGACGCCUCCAGCUGCCGACUUCACCGAGCCUCAGAUAGGCGAGGUGCGAAAUAUUAUCAGCCCCAACACACUCAAGAAGGCGGUCUGUGAGCAGAACUCGGUCCCAUUACAGGAGAAGAAGAAGGCACGCAAAAGAAAGACUAAGAAGGGUGCGAGCCAGCCGGCACCGAGUACGAUCCGUGCUCAGGACGGGCCACCUUCACCGCAGGAUAUCUCGAGGAGGGUGCAUGUGGUGGGUAGGGCGAUGCUACCACCAAAUAUGCUCAAUGCUGCAACCGGUGCUAUGCGGAGUCUGCACGACAGUGUUCUUUCUUUGGAGAAGCGGCGUCUCAGAGAGAAGGAUGUGGCAUACCCGGUUUUCGUGGCCAAGGUGCCAGAGGGCAAGGGCUUUGUGGAUGGCGACAUCGGGGGUACGAUCGUCCUGCGGUUUGAUGACAUCUUUGCUAUGUUUAACCUUCAUCCGCUGCACUACACCUUCGUUCGGCUAUUUUCGCUGAGUAUGGAGAUGCGGAUCAUUCGCGACAAGACCCCGGACAUCGUGAUAGUCGACCCCUUCUACAUGCGUGCCAAGAUCUUGGGCAGCGCUGGGGACCGGCAAGUCGCGAGUUCUUACCUCGAAGGCGUCAUUCUGGCAAACCAAGAUAAGGAUAACUUCCUCGUGCCUUACUUUCCCGAGUAAGUCCUCCCCUCAACCGGCCCGUAACAUACGAAUUCUUACUUUUCGAUCGUUUUUCUUUUAACAUUCCGUGUUUUCUGCAGUGACACACGUUGCACGCUCAUCCUCCUAAGCCCCAAAUAUUCCAUGGCCACGUAUUUCGACCCGGACCGUCAGUCGAACGUAGACUACACAAAUGUCAAGAAGGUUCUUGAUGAUGUUCUCCCCGGCUACGCCCAAUCUGGAGGCACCUUCACCAGGCCUAUUCGUAAGUACGGCAAGCACGUGUUCUCCCACAAUACGACGUUCUGCUGCGUCAAGCAGCCGCCUAGCGGUCAGAAGGGUGCCUACUACGCCAUCCAUCACAUGCGGGCGAUCGUACGGGACCAUCAUCAACUUCUGCUACCGAGUAAACUCCAAGAUUGGGCCGCGAGCGUGUCGGCAAUCCAGGACGCGGACCUCUGACAAGAAUUCUUUCGCAUCCAGUCGGAGUUUGCGGAAAUCAUCCAUCAAGAUGUCCUUCGUACCUCGGGGCAGUUCUACCUCAGAAAUCAACCGUCCAACAGUGACAUCGACACAAUGCUACAAAUGCAGGAUGACAACGCCCGUUCUUUCAUGACUCCCACGAUAGACGGCGGCUUCAUCCACGCUCCGGUCCCUUGAGUCGAGUUGUCUAGUUCUGAAACAUCGAUUGGCUCAUGUUGUAAUUAAACUUUAAUGAACUUGUAGUAUGUCUCUUUGGUUUUGAGAGUCGUUCAACUUAGAUGUAAUCGAUGCUAUUAAUGUCUUGCUUUUCUCUUCCGAUCGUUCUGUUGCAUAAUUAUAUAUUGCUUAUGUAUUGUCUGUGAAUUGGUACUAACGUUUCGUUUGGCUAGUGCAUAGUGAUGCCGACGUAUGUCGUGUACAAGGGUAAGGUUCCCGGAGUCUACGAUGACUGGGAGGAGUGUCGGAGACAGGUUCACCGAUUCAGCGGUAACAGUUACAAAGGGUACACCACUAGGGCCGAGGCCGAAUCUAGAUACGCCCGCUAUCUAGCGGGAGAGGGAGGGAGCGUUGGAGGAACCGGAUGAAGACGAGUUUCAUCGUGAUGAUGCUCAUCGUGAUGACCGCAGCUCUCUUCUAUGUGAUGGUAGUUUAGAUGAUCGAUAUCGACUUGUAAUGCGAAGACAAACUCGCUACUCGCGGUCUCGAGACUUGUAAUAUAAUGUUCUAUCUUUGUUCGGUCUUUUUAAUUCGGAGACUAAUAUGAUGAAUUGUAUUCGGAGACUAAUAUGAUGAAUUGUAUUCAAAGACUAAUCUUCUAUUGUAUUUGAUGAAUCUAUUGUUGAUGUGUGCUGUCUAUAUUUUGUCAAAUUAUACAUUUUGUAACCUGUGCAAAAAACAGAAAAUAAAAAAAUAAAAAAAAACUAAUAUUCAUACUAAUGGCGCAUCACACGACAGUGCGCCAUUAGUAUGACAGUGCAUACUAAUGGCGCAUCACCGGGUAGUGCGCCAUUAGUAUGCUGCGGUUACUAAUGGCGCAUCCAGAGGUGGUGCGCCAUUAGUAUGCCAAAGCACCUGGGUAUACAUGCCAACUGGGAGGCAUACUAAUGGCGCACCCUCGCAUAUACUAAUGGCGCACCAGGUGGUGCGCCAUUAGUAUACCAGAUACUAAUGGCGCACCAGCUGGUGCGCCAUUAGUAAAAAUUACUAAUGGCGUGCUAUCAAUGGCGCACCAGUGAUGCGCCAUUAAUGGCCAUAUUAGGUGCGCCAUUAGUAGUGGUAUUUCUAGUAGUGAUAUCCGGAUGACUCUAAGUCACAAACCGGAUACGUGUAUAUUUUGAAUGGUGGGGCAGUAAGCUGGUGCAGUUGCAAGCAAAGCGUUGUGGCGGGAUCUACAUGUGAAGCGGAGUACAUGGCAGCCUCGGAGGCAGCACAAGAGGCAAUCUGGGUGAAGGAGUUCAUUACCGACCUAGGAGUCAUACCCAAUGCGUCGGGCCCGAUGACUUUCUUCUGUGACAACACUGGAGCUAUUGCCCUUGCCAAGGAGCCCAGGUUUCACAGGAAGACCAGACAUAUCAAGCGUCGCUUCAACUCCAUUCGUGAAAGUGUUCAAAAUGGAGACAUAGAUAUUUGUAAAGUACAUACGAACCUGAAUGUGGCAGAUCCGUUGACUAAACCUCUCCCUAGAGCAAAACAUGAUCAACACCAGAACUGCAUGGGUGUUCGAUUCAUCACUAUGUAACUAGACUAUUGACUCUAGUGCAAGUGGGAGACUGUUGGAAAUAUGCCCUAGAGGCAAUAAUAAAAUGGUUAUUAUUAUAUUUCUUUGUUCAUGAUAAUUGUCUAUUGUUCAUGCUAUAAUUGUGUUAUCCGGAAAUCGUAAUACAUGUGUGAAUACAUAGACCACAACACGUCCCUAGUGAGCCUCUAGUUGACUAGCUCGUUGAUCAAAAGAUAGUCAUGGUUUCCUGACUAUGGACAUUGGAUGUCAUUGAUAACGGGAUCACAUCAUUAGGAGAAUGAUGUGAUGGACAAGACCCAAUCCUAAGCAUAGCUCAAAGAUUGUGUAGUUCGUUUGCUGUAGCUUUUCCGAAUGUCAAGUAUCAUUUCCUUAGACCAUGAGAUUGUGCAACUCCCGGAUACCGUAGGAGUGCUUUGGGUGUGCUAAACGUCACAACGUAACUGGAUGACUAUAAAGGUACACUAUAGGUCUCUCCUAAAGUGUCUGUUGGGUUGGCACGAAUCGAGACUGGGAUUUGUCACUCCGUAUGACGGAGAGGUAUCUCUGGGCCCACUCGGUAAUGCAUCAUCAUAAUGAGCUCAAUGUGACCAAGUGAUUGAUCACGGGAUCAUGCAUUACUGUACGAGUAAAGUGACUUGCCGGUAACGAGAUUGAACGAGGUAUUGGGAUACCGACGAUCGAGUCUCGGGCAAGUAACGUACCGAUUGACAAAGGGAAUUGUAUACGGAUUGAUUGAAUCCUCGACAUCGUGGUUCAUCCGAUGAGAUCAUCGAGGAGCAUGUGGGAGCCAACAUGGGUAUCCAGAUCCCGCUGUUGGUUAUUGACCGGAGAGUCGUCACGGUCAUGUCUACGUGUCUCCCGAACCCGUAGGGUCUACACACUUAAGGUUCAGUGACGCUAGGGUUGUUGAGAUAUUAGUAUACGGUAACCCGAAAGUUGUUCGGAGUCCAGGAUGAGAUCCCGGACGUCACGAGGAAUUCCGGAAUGGUCCGGAGGUGAAGAUUUAUAUAUAGGAAGUCAAGUUUCGGCCAUCGGGAAGGUUUUCGGGGUAAUCGGUAUUGUACCGGGACCACCGGAAGGGUCCCGGGGGUCCACCGGGUGGGGCCACCUAUCCCGGAGGGCCCCAUGGGCUGAAGUGGGAGGGGAACCAGCCCCUUGUGGGCUGGUGCGCCCCCCCCCCCAUGAGCCUCCCCCUGCACCUAGGGUUGGAAACCCUAGGGGUGGGGGCGCCCCACUUGCCNNNNNNNNNNNNNNNNNNNNNNNNNNNNNNNNNNNNNNNNNNNNNNNNNNNNNNNNNNNNNNNNNNNNNNNNNNNNNNNNNNNNNNNNNNNNNNNNNNNNNNNNNNNNNNNNNNNNNNNNNNNNNNNNNNNNNNNNNNNNNNNNNNNNNNNNNNNNNNNNNNNNNNNNNNNNNNNNNNNNNNNNNNNNNNNNNNNNNNNNNNNNNNNNNNNNNNNNNNNNNNNNNNNNNNNNNNNNNNNNNNNNNNNNNNNNNNNNNNNNNNNNNNNNNNNNNNNNNNNNNNNNNNNNNNNNNNNAUCUCCUAGGGCCGGCGCCCCCCUAGGGGUCCAAUAAAUAGUGGGGGGGAGGGAGGGCAGCCGCACCCUAGCCCCUGGCCUCUCCCUCUCCCUCCCGUGACACUCCUCCAUCUCCCUGUGCUUGGCGAAGCCCUGCCGAGAUCACCGUUACUUCCACCACCACGCCGUCGUGCUGCUGGAUCUUCAUCAACCUCUCCUUCCCCCUUGCUGGAUCAAGUUGGAGGAGACGUCUUCCCAACCGUAUGUGUGUUGAACGCGGAGGUGCGUCCAUUCGGCGCUAGGUCAUCGGUGAUUUGGAUCACGACGAGUACGACUCCAUCAACCCCGUUCUCUUGAACGCUUCCGCGCGCGAUCUACAAGGGUAUGUAGAUGCACUUCUCUCUCCCUCAUUGCUAGAUGACUCCAUAGAUUGAUCUUGGCGAUGCGUAAAUUUUUUUAAAAUUCUGCUACGUUCCAGCACGGUACCUCCCGUGCACGGUAGAAAAGCCGGUCUCGACAGCAUGGUGAGUUCCUCGAGCACACACACCAUGGCAUGGCAGAAUGUAUAGGAACAAUAUCGGUGGACCAUGAGAAAAUCCCAAUCAGCCACAUAUGAUCAUGGUAACUCUAGACCAACAAAAUUUGGAGAGCAUGGCAAUAAUCUCCGUCACACACAAACUAGACCACUGGCCAGUCUCUGCUAUGCAGAGAAGGAAACGUGGCAAAACAUGGGGUAAAAUGACCAACAAGAGAACAAAAUCAGCUAAAAGAACGACCCUAGAACUGUUGGGAUCAAUAUGUCUCAAAUAGCUAAUUUGGCAUUCGCCCUCAUUGACGCAAUUUUGGCUUUAAAAAUUGCGCACAUAAGAACAAAUUCUUCACAACACUAAAAAGGCAAAAAAAAAAUUGAAACCCGCCAAUGCCCAUGGCACUCUUGCGGCUGUGGCCACGACGCUCGCCGCCGCCGCCACCGCCUCAAUCCGACGAGCACUACGGUCCUCCCCAUCGUGACGACUUUAACAACUUGGAAGCCCUACCCUGACAACACCAUCGUGCGCACGCGGAGCAUCAUACUUUGAGCCCUAGCCCAAUGUCAGCGGUUGACCGUGCUUGAAUCAUCGGCGAAGACAAAGCUACAGGGCAGAGAGCGAGAAGGGGGAGAGAAGGAAUGAGCGAAUGCGGUUAGUGGGGCGAAUGGAGGGGAGGAAGAGAGGGGUUAGUGGGAUUGGAUCGUUCGCUAGACUGGGGGUUAGAGCGAACCGUUUACACGUGUUACGUGGUGAGCCUCCCCACGCCAAUAUUUGUAAUUUCCUAACACUAGUAAGUAUGCAUGUGCAAUGCACGCCUAAUUAUUAAUCAUAUGUGAAAACGCAUGUUGUUUGGUAUAAUUAGUACCCCCAACCUGAACAUAUGCUACUACGGUACAUCCAUUUUUUAAGUUUGUAUAUAAUUAAGGGCCAUCUAUAUGCCCAAAUCUGAUAUUAGAAACAGUAUUGAUCAGUUUUAGAUCUUACCUAUAAACCUAAAUUAAGCAAGCAUUAUAUGCAUUCAUUUCCAAAGCAACACAUGAAGACUUGAUGGAUCAGGGCAUAAGGCUUCGUUGUAAAGAACUGUGGUAUCUUCACAUACUCCCUCCACCCUUAAGAGAGUGUACUUUCAACUUGGUUAAAGAAUCAAACUACUUCAAAGCUUGAUCGAGUUUGUGCAAACAUAUAUUAAUAUUUGUGAAACCAAAUAGGUAUAUAAUGAAAAUAUAUUUUAUCAUAAAUAUAAUGCUACUAAUUUGAUAGCAUAAAUAUUGAUGUACUAUUAUAUAAAUACGGCAAACAUAAAAGAGUUUGACUUUCCAACAAAGUAGUCCUAUAGAAUCAAGAUUAAUUAAACUUAAACAUAAUUAGUCUAAUUUCCUAACAAUCAACAAAAUAUUUCCACGGUGGAACAGUAUGGUCCAAAACCGAUCAUUUUCGCAACGAAAAAUAAAAUGCAACAGAUCUUAUAAUCUUCCAAAACCGAUUUGCUUGGUCUCGAAGCCAAGGAUGCUAUUGAUGAUCUCUAUAUCCCAAUAAACACGCACGCACGCACAAAGUUAGGGAUUACAACUAAUUAAUCAUGAUUCGGUGCUAUAUAUUAAAUCAAAUCCCACAGCUGUUGUAGAUCCAUUACUACGCACGAACAAAGUUGUACUUCCAUCGGAGAAGAAGGCGAAUCCAAGAGCUUUGGAUGAUUAAUCCCAUGGAGACGAGGUGCGCCGUCUGUCAUGGCGACAUGGGCCGCGGCCACGCCACCUUCACGGCCGAGUGCUCCCACAGCUUCCACAUCCGCUGCGUCCACCACCAGACCGCCUGCCCGCUCUGCUUCACGCCGUGGCGCGACGUGCCGGGCGUGGCGCCCGCCCAGGAGCUCGUCUUCCGCGACGACGAGCCGCUCGAGCCGCAGCCCGCAGCUGUCGCCGCGGAGAAGACGACUGCCGGCGGCGGAGUGAUGUCCAUCACGACGCACUGCGAAUACCCCGCCAUCGCCAAGUACGCCAGCCGCGACGGCUUCGCGGUGCUCGUGCACGCCAAGGCGCCCGCGCUGGCUCCGGCCGCGGCCAAGGCGGCGCGCGCGCCCCUGGAUCUCGUCAUGGUGCUCGACGUCAGCGGGAGCAUGGGCGGCCGCAAGCUGGCGCUGCUUAAGCAGGCCGUGGGCUUCGUCGUCGACAAGCUCGGCCCCCACGACCGCCUCAGCCUCGUGUCCUUCUCGUGCGACGCCCGCCGCCUCACCCGCCUCACGCGCAUGUCCGACGCCGGGAGGGCCGCGACCGAGCGCACCGUCGAGUCCCUGGCCGCGGGUGGCGGGACGAACAUCAAGGAGGGCCUUCGCGAGGCCGCCAAGGUGAUCGACGGCCGCCGCUACAGGAACGCCGUUACCGGCGUCAUCCUGCUCUCCGACGGCCAAGACAACUACACGCUGUCUUCAAGGUUUUACAAUCACGACGUGGCCACCGACUACAGCGUGCUCGUGCCACCUUCCCUGAUCCGCACGGGGGACGGUUCCUCGCCGCCGAUCCACACGUUCGGCUUUGGCACCGACCACGACUCGGCGGCGAUGCACACCAUCGCGGAGGCCACCGGCGGCACCUUCGCCUUCAUCGAGAACGAGGCAGUCAUCCAGGACUCGUUCGCGCAGUGCAUCGGCGGGCUUCUCUCGGUCGCCGUGCAGGAGGCGCGCGUCGCCGUCGAGUGCGUCUGCCCCGGCGUUCGCGUCCGGUCCAUCAAGUCGGGACGCUACAAGAGCCGCGUCGAUGCUGACGGGCGCGCCGCCGCGGUGGAAGUCGGCGAGCUAUACGCCGACGAGGAAAGGCGCUUCCUGCUGUUCCUCGACGUGCCCACGGCCGGUGCCACGGACGACGUGACAUCUCUGAUGAAGGUGAGCUGCACAUACCGCGACGUGGCGACCGGGCAGUCGGUCGACGUGGCAGGCGAGGAGGUGGCGGUGAAAAGGCCGGUGGAGGUGCCGGAGGCAGAGCCGGACGUGGAGGUCGAGCGGGAGCGCCUCCGCGUGCAGGCCGCGGAGGACAUCGCCGCGGCGCGGGCGGCGGCCGAGCGCGGCGAGCACGCGGAGGCGUCGGAGAUGCUCAGCCGCCGGCGCAUGGCGCUGAGGCAGUCGCCGCUGGGCGCGAGCGGCGACGCCGGGUGCGCGGAGCUGGCGGCGGAGCUGGGCGAGCUGAGCGAGCGCGUGGGGGACCGGAGGGAGUACGACCUGUCGGGGCGCGCGUCGUUGCUGUGCGGCAUGAGCGCGCACUCGCAGCAGCGCACGUCGGUCAAAGUUGGGAGGGCGAGGUACGCGACCCCCGCCAUGCGUAAGAUGGUGGACUUGUCGGUGAAGGCCCGGGAGCAGCAGCAGCAGCCACAGGCACAGGCACAGCCAUCGCCGCCUUCAAGGCCGACGAUGCCGCCGCCGCCGCCGCCUCCGACGACGACGGCGGCUCUCGCUAAGAACAUCGUGAGAAGAUACCACCGAUUUCUACGUCUCAGGUGAAUACGGGGCGACCAACUCAACUGCUACGAAAAUGCUCGCGCGCGACGAGCACAGAAAAUAAUGAAGACGUGAACUUGCACGGUUUUUUUUAGCUUAAAAAAUUUGUUUCCUCUCUCUUUGCAUUCAUCAAUCUUGUAGUACUACCAUAUAUAUAUAUAUUUUUGCGGGGAAGUUCCUAGCAGAUAAUAAUAGGCUGGUUUGGCUUACUAUUUUCCCUUUUACAUUCGUAUGAAUUACUGUAUUUAUAUGGAUCGUCAGCUGGAGACGACGUGCGAGUGAACGCUUGGUUCGAUCGAAAAACCCCUAUUCUGUUUGCUGGGAUUAAUCCUCCCGAACGAAACCAACUCACCGAGAGCCUCUCCGCUAGGUCAAUUUUUUUUACGCUACAACACGGGCAAGGAAGAAAAAGGCCAAAAAAAGACCCAGCUUUAGCACCAUAGAAAAAGGCCUUUGAAACUAAAAUAUUUUUUUGCCAUGUGUAUAAACGAAAAUUUGCCAAAUAGCAAGCAAAAAAAUUGCAUAGCUCUGAAAAAUUAAUUUGCCAAAUACAUAUAAAUACCAAAGUACAAGGCAAAAUUUCUGUAUCAAAAAAUAACAUUUUCCAUCAACAAAAAAAUAAAAAUAUAUUUCCCGUCAUAUAUAGCAUGAUUUUGCCAAUUGCAUGUAAAAACACAUACAAAAAAAUUGUUUAAUUGCCAUGAUAGUAAUAAAAUUGCCAAGGUCUGCAUAAUAAAGUGCAAUGCUAGCUACAAUAAAACUAUCAUUGUCUAAAUUAAGGGUAAGGUACAAUUGCACAUUGAAUUUUUGAAAAGUAGGAAUUCGUUCAUUUUGGAAAAAAAAGAUGGCUCAAUUAGGGGAUAUAUUAUAAAAAAUUACCAUGAUCAAGAUAUUAAAAUUGCCACGACAAUAAAAAUAAAAUAAAAAUGCCAUGAUCUUAAAAAUAAAAAUAACAUGAUUUACAUAUUGUCUUCUCAUAACAUAAGAUCACAAGAAAUUUGCUGCAAACCAACAUGUGGUUGGAUGGUUAGGAGGACAAUGGUAUCCCCAACUCACUAGGGAACCUUGAUUGCGAGGCGCAUGUGGUGACUUCGUAAAAUCUCAAGAUUUUAUGCUGGCUCAGUCUCUCGAGGUGCUCGUAGGGGUACAGUGUGCGUGCAUGCGCUCAUAUGGAUGACUGUAUGAUCGUGCAUGUGAGCGACUUCGAUUGUACUCUGUAUAGAAGAAGGUGCCAAGCAAAAGAAGCUUCAUAAAUAUGCAAAAUACUUCUUUUAAGUUGACAUAAUUUUUUUGCCAUGUGAGUUCUUAAUUGUUUUGUGAUCAUCUAAAAAAUUAAUGGCGUGUAUUCUAGGUGUAAAUAAAAUUACCAUGGUAUAGAUAAAAAAAGUCAUGCUCUAUAUACAAGCAGGUGCCAAGUAAAAGAAGAUUCCUUAAUAUGCAAAAGACUUCUUUUAAGUUGACAUAAUUUUUUUGCCAUGUGAGUUCUUAAUUGUUGUGUCAUCAUCUAAAAAAAAAUUAAUGCCAUGUAUUCUAGGUGUAAAUAAAAUUGCCAUGGUAUUCUGUCCCAUGGUAGCCAUAAGUAAAAUGCCUUGGUCAACAUAAUUGCCAUGGUGUUUUAAAUACAUUUGCCAUUGUAGGCAUAAAUAAAAUGCCAUGGCCAAUGCAAUAAGAAUGCCAUGAGAACAAUUAUUAAAAAUGUAGUAUAAACUUACAAAAGUUGCCUAUGGGAAAAACAUUUGAAAAAAGUUUGCCAUGCAUAAUUUAUAGCUUAAAAGGCAGCAAAUUGCCAUGAAAUUAGCAUAUAUAGAUCGAAUACAAAAUAAGAUUGCCAUGACACAUCUCUAUAUGUAUUACAAAACUUAAGGUGGCUUGGCAAAAAGAUCUUAAUUUUUUGACAUCGUAACUAUAUAAAGUCAUGAAAAUUGAGUGGGGGUAGGUUCAAGGGAGAGGUGGAAGCGAUCGAACAAACGACCUAUAUACUUAGAGAUGUAUAUCUCUUAGCGUUAUCUCUGCCAAACAGAUAUCCCUAAAUAUGUGGUGAGAGAUUUCUUGCUAAGAGAUCAUGUGUUAAUUAAGAAAAAAGGCAAACCUUUCUUUAGCUUUCUCUUUCCUCCAUCUUAGCAUGUAUUGUAGAUGGCACUUCUAAGAUGGCAUCAUUGUGCAUGCUCUAAUUAAUUUGCUUAUUAGUAUGGCCCAGUAGCCCCUACCUCAUACAUCUACUCGUGAAAAUACAGGAUCUUUUUUGAAAUGUAACACACAUUUGUCUUUUUGUAUGCCCAUUUUUGUUUCUUUCAGCAUACUAUAGCUAAUUAAAAAAAACUAUGUCAAAUCUUUUAUCGACUUAGUAAAAUAAAAUGACACAUGGAUCAAUCCUAAUUUCCAAAGUUUGCGACGUUAGUUGGCAGCAAACUAAAUGGCAGCACAAUGAUUUUUCUUUAAUUUUGGUAGGAACAUUGGCUUUUAAGCCAAACAAGAACAACUUACCAUUUUUUUUGGAAAAAUAAAGGAGGUAGAUUUUUUUGGAUUUAUGGUUAAAGAAGAAAACAUGGGUUUUAUUGAAAUUUAAGUAUUCAGUUUCACCAAAAAGAUACGGAGACCUGCUUCACAUUUGGAAUUACACAAAAAAGAUUUUUCAUCAGAAAGAGGUCUACAAUGACUUUUGGGAAAAUUUCGAAGUUUGCUGGCUUAUUUGGCAAAGAAAUUAGAGUACGUUAUAAGAAAUUAAUAGGUCAGUUGAAUAUUAGGGAGCAAUAAUUUAACCAUUCAAUUUUUUUUUCUUGUUUUCUCUUUUUUAGUAGUCUUAGAUUUUUCAUUUUGAUGAGCCUCGCCAUGACCAAAAAAUUGGUGGGGCUUCUUUUUUAGGGAUAUAAAAAAUUGGUGGGGCUAGUUGGGGCAUAAACCAAACACACCCCAUGACAAUAAAAAAAAAGAAAACCAAACACACCCGAAAGCUUUUCUUUUCUGCAGAACUAGCCCAGUUGCUGGCGCGGGCUCAUUUCUGGGCCUCGAUUGCAUGGGCCGAGCGGGCUAGCGCUACCACGCUAGCUAGCGGAGCUCCUUUACCUCAAAAAAAAAAAAACUAGCAGACCUCCUCUUACUCCCGUGGAUGCUCUGCUCGAACCCCACCACAUCGGAGAUCGGAGACACGUCGCCGGCCGGCCGGGAUCCUCCGUCGCAGUUGUCGCCGUCCUAGUUCCUCCCUCGAAGCCACCUAUCCAUCCCCGAUCGGCCGCCGUCGGGCUACCGCGGUCGACGCUCGACGGACUAGUCUGCCUUUCUUGGAUGGCGCCGGAGACGAGAGCCGGCGAGCGGAUAGGAGGAGGAGGGGGAGGGAGGCCCGCGCUUUGGGGACGGCGCUCUUCGGCGUUCUGGAGCCGAAGAGGGGAAGUGGGGGGAGGCGCCGGCCGGUGGCCACUCCGUUAAGUGCGUGCACGGCUGUGCUAGGUACCACUGCAACCCGAGUUUUUAGUCCCACAUCGCCGAUUUAGGUGCAAUUCGGCGGAUUUAUAAGAAAGUAAAAAAAGAAAAAUUCACAGUCUCUUAAAAUGGCCGUAAAGGGGAGUAAGGGGGGUUUCAAAAUUCCACAGUCUCCUUACAAAAAAGAAAUUAAAUAGAAAUAAAUUCCUCUCCAAGAUUUUUUUUACUGUAAUUUUGAGACGGCGACUAAUUUAUGUGCCACUUUUGUUCGGUAAUUCCUCUUUCAGUCCUAGAUUCACUUUUGUUCGGUAAUUUGUCAUGAGAUUAGUAGUAAGAAUCCUACUGUGAUUUCCUACAGAUUUUUUUCCUUUGCAAACCACCUUAUGCCGUAGACCCCUCAUUCAAAAUACCUAUGUUUCUGUCUAUAAGAAAAAAAUGCCUUGCCUACCUGUUUUCCUUUACAUGUUAUAUCGAAUUUUGGUCGUAAGAUACUUAAAUGGUCGUGCGAAAGCUAUUACGGCUCUGUACGACAUUGUUGUGGCUUUUGGAAGCACUUAUUAUGUUUUCUACUUUAGGAUGCACAAAUAGUUAAAAGCAUGUUUGUUCGAGCAAUAACAGCAUCAAACUGGGAUUAGUAAAGAUUCAAGCAAUUAACUAGAUUCCACUGCACAGUACAUCAUCCACAAAUUGACCCUAAAGCAAAUAUAUGCCACUUAUUUCUCCUUUUUUUUGGUCAGAUGGUGUAUUUGAACUGUAAGAAUCUGGUGUGCAAGCUGUUCUGAAUCUUACUGAGAUGUUCUUAACUGAGCAUAUCUCUGAUUUCGAAAUACUGUCUGGGCUUGCUGUAGCUGUUGUUUCUUAUGAAUCCAAGACCUUUGCUAUUGAAGUUCAGGUACUACAUAUGAUGAUCAUUCUCGAGUUGUGAUUUAUUUUCCUUCCAACAAUUCAUACUGUUUAUUUUGUCUCCUAGUGUAAUAGUAUCAUGUUGAGCUUAAUUUAACUUGUCAUUUACCAAUAAAAUCCAUCUUUCAUUGCAUUUAUCAGAGAGAUUGACCUUGGCGGUGAACUUAGAACUGUAAGUUCCUAUGAUUUUCUGCUUUGCGUGACCAUGUAUUGACUGCAGAUAUUCUAUGUUGGUAUUUGCGGCUUAAAGGAAAGAGCUUGUGUUUGAUAAGGGUAAUAUGCAUUUAGAGGAAAAGAAUAAAGACAUGAAUUUGGAAACAGGAUAAUCUCUGUUCAAAAUUCAGAUAAAAAAAUCAGUUUCAGAGUUUAUCAAUCCAUUGCAAGUUUGUGAAGCUGCCCAUAUUGUAACUUUUUAUAUAUGUUCAUUACUCUCCACACAAAGUACAGCAUUACAAUAGCACUCAGCUUAAAAUAUAUAUACUAUACACAAUGCACCCAUUCUUCUCUCUGUUAGCUCUGCUGUUAACAAGUGUAUAUGUAACUCACUAUGUACAGUGCAUCUAACUCAAAACUGAACAAACAAUAGCUGCUGUCUAUCUUUGCUAACAGAAAUGCUAACAGAUGAAGGUGGCGCACAACCUCGGACUCUGUGUAGGGCAAGGUAUCUAGUACUGUGGCAUCUCAGCAGGGACAGUUGGGCUAAGAAAGGAUUCCCAAGGUAUGUUGCACUUCCAGUCAUCUGAAGAGUCUGCUCCUAAAUCGAAUGGGAAGUUGAGUCUCCCCGGAGCCUCCAACUCAUUGUUCAUACUGAAAGUAUUGCCAUGCUUCAUUGUGGAUGACUCUUGGUUCCUGCAGCUCAUGCCGGCAUUUACAUCUGCAGAAGAAUCAGCCAGAAAUCCAGUGAUCUGCUGCUCAGGCUGCCCAAACUGCAUGUUGAAGAGCGGUGGUGCAGUGUGCACGGGCUUCUGUGAUGUCUGUGUUUGGAAUGGCAAGAUGGUGGGACCUUCCAGUUCCAGAGAUGGACUGCAGUUGAAGCUUAUGACCUUGCAUGAAGAGCCAUCCUGUGUGUUGCUGGGUUUCUGAAGCUGCUGCUGUCCCUGGAACCCAUGUUUGCUGUUGAACUGACUUGCUGGUGCCUCUGCAACUUGCAAUGAGCGGGAGGAGCUCUCCGAAGCAAAAUGUGAAGCUUGCAUCGGUUGCAUUGCGGAGAAGAGAUCUUGCUGAGUUGUCCCAGGCAAUGGAGGCCCCCAAGUGUGAGACAGCACCAUUUGCUGUGCCAUCGAACUGGUCUUCUUGAAGAUCUUACAUAUGGUCCAAGAGUCCUGUUUUGGGCAACAGAAAAGUGACCUUAAGAAUUUGACAUAACAUUUGAAUUUAGCUCUGUAACUACAUAAUAUGAAUUGAAAUGCUUACGUUGAGCGGGAUGUUCUUGUCGAUCGGUCUCUUGGGAAGUGAUGGAUCGGUUAGCGAAGGAAGCCUGAACUCAUGCAUCAUCCAGUCGGUUUUGAUCCCUCUUGCUGCCCUACCUCUGUAGAAGACAAGGGACUUCUUCAGGCCUAUGCACCUGGUGUCUUCGGAGGAGUAGAUCGGCCUGUCUGUUCCUGUGGCUUUCCAGAACCCAGCUGCUGUGACUCGGUUUGGCCUCGCGCUGUUGCGAUAUUUCCGGUCCCUCGGGCAGUAGAAGUACCAGUCCGUCUCACCGGUGCUCGCAAGCUCUGUCGUUGAGAAGGGAUAUGGAAGUUAGACUUUGCAGCAGUAAGGUGAGUAAUCCAUCUAUGUACUGUAGGCUAGCUUGUGAUGAGAAGAUGGUCAAUACUACUACUGAUUUCGUUCAACUGAACCUCCAGUGAACGGAUGAGCCCAAGACUUUCUUAACUAAAGAUUAAGGGUGAAACCAACUUAUGUUGAAUGAGCAUCCUAAUUCCUAGCCUCUCCUUGGAAGAUACUAGUACAAUCUUUGGAAUUCUCAAAAGUCAAUUGCGUCCAAUCUGUUAAAGAGAGAAAAAAAGAUGUAUAACAAGGAGAGGUAAGAAGAUGCAAGCUUACUUGGGAGGUCCCACGGGUCAAACUUGUAGAUGUCCAGCUGCCUGAUGAGCUCAAUAGAGAUAGGCUUUUGCUGGAUCUUCUUCUUGAGGUAGAAGCUAACGAGCUCUUCAUCGGUAGGAUGGAACCGGAACCCCGGCAUGAUGAUCUCUUCUGAUUUGUCCAUGUUGACAUCAUUUAUGCCCUCCAUUGUAAGUAAUCUCACAAAGGCUAGCUUGUGCAGUAGUGAAUGGCUUCUUGGGAUGAAGCUGCUGAGCUGAGGUGAAGACAAUCACCGGCCGAGAGGUGUACUUAUAUGCUACCUGGAGCGACUGGAUGAGGCCCACAGGUCUGAAGGGUCCUGUUCUUCCUUUAAUAAUUCCUUUUAGUUCAUUCUCUGUUUGAAAGCUGCCAAGAUUAGUUUAAUGCUGGAUUAGUAUCUCAACUAAGACAGGCCGCGCUGCAUGAAGAGAUGGAUGCCAGUCACUUUCAGUUCACACUUAGAAUACUCACGCACGGCAGUAAAAACAUUCUUAAACUGUAGUACAGCAACACUUGCCUUGUAGAUUUAGUUUUGAUUUUCUGUUUUCAUCUUUUAUUAGCCUCCCCAGAUAAACGAAAAAGACAUGCAAUUCCAGUACGCGGCAAUAACCGACCGAAACUAUAAAUGCAAAUCUUAUUGAGCACCUUUAGCUUUAUUAACAGCAAUGAAUAUAUAUAUUUUUGUUGUCAGUGAAUAUUGAUGUUCUUUCAAUACCUGAAACGAAAAUUCUCCGUUUCAUGUGAGUGCUAAUGGUAAUCUGUACUUUUUUCUCGAAAAGGAGGAUAACCCCGGACCUCUGCAUCAAGCGAUGCACACAGCCAUUCUUUAUUAAUUAUUGAACAAAGCCUUACAAAGUAAUACAUCAAUGAGUCUGAAGCCACCCUCCUGGCAACAACUGUCGCUACUCCUACCAACAUGAUGAAGGAGGUGCACAUAAUGACUGCUAACAGUAAUCUGUACUUAAUUAGUCUAACUUUUGAUUCUCCGUUUUAUAUGCAGUUCCCUAAUUAGUCUAGGUUUUGGGCAUUACAUAAUGUGAGUGCUAACAUUAAUCUGUACUUAAUUAGCAUAACUUUCAAUGUCCAUGCGUGUGUGUGUGUGUUUGUGAGAGAGAGACAGAGAGAUAAGAGUCCUACUGACUGAUUACCCAGAGAUAGUGAUGGCCUUACCAGUGUAAUUUCCUUGCACUUUUUAAUGAAGUAGCGUGAGGUACCCUGCUAGCUGAGUGUUGGAGCAGAAGAUUCUUAGUAAGGACAGUUUUGUAGACUAAAUAAAUUUUACUAAUCGCCUGAGUUGCCACGGUGGAAAGCCGGUCCAAUUUGCUCCAACAGCUAGUCAACUUUUUUUGCUGGUCACUCCACACGGCACAGUUGUUUCUUGCCCCGUUGCACACUCCAGAAAGUAAUGAUGAUCUGUCUAUUCUGUUCUCAGGAUCCACAUGACGAACCGGGGAAGGGCCGUCUUCGAUGACAUCAGACCCGCUUGAUCGACACUGUCAAGGCGGCAGAGACAGGGGUGUGGGCUCGAUGGUCGGUAGGCAACGAUUGUUCCGGCUAGCUCUUGUAAACCUGGGUCAUCCUUGUUGGUGUUGAACAUUUUUUGUUUCUCUCGUAAGCUUGUAAGCUUUCUUGUUUCUCUCGUAAAUCGACUGUCGGUGGACCAUGUUUUCUUCAUGCACAUGAGACAUCUGACACUGCAUCAGCAAACUCAAACAAACUUGACGCCAAGUUUAUUUUCCUGGCCGACACAACGUCAGCAAACUGAAAGGAUUUUGAUCAAGGUCCGUCAGUUAUUUAUUCCUGACAGACUGUUCAAAUUUUUGUGCGGAAACUGAUACAUCGUCCUGUUUUUUCGAAGUUAAAGGCACUGCAAGCAAGCAAAUGGCCGUGAGCAUGAUCAAUUAAUCUUCUCACUCUGCAACUACUAAGCAACUACUUGGAUCUUCAGAGGUAACCCUGGCUUCCCGAAUGAACUAUUCAAUGAAAACUAACGCCGUAAUUCAGUAAAUCAAAGUGCACCGGCUGAACAGAGCUAGCUGAUUUUUCCACAUUCGAAGCACAGUCAUCAGCAACCUGGUACCAAGCACCCAGGGUUCGAAAAGGCGGUCACAAAUUCCCUUAAAUUUAACCAACAAGAACUGUGCAUGCAGCAUUCAUCCCAGACAACAGAUUCUAAUGCAAAGGUAACCAGAGACAGCAUAACUAACUAGGAUCAGUUCCAAGAGCAUUAAGAAGUCUCAGACACUUAAUUAAACAGAUUCUGGCCCACAAGACAGAGAUCCACACAAGUUACUACGAUAGCAAGCAAAACAGCAGCUAGUUUAGUGCUGAACUGAAAGCAACAAGUUGCCUUGAGAUGCUAGUAAUGAAGCACUUAGUUUGCAUUCUUGAUAAUGCUCCAGAUAACGCAGCACCACCAAAGCUCUCCCUGCCACUGCGGCCAUCAACAGCCUGUGUCAAGGAAAAGUUGACAAAUGUCAGGCUCCAUUGCAGCAUAUGAACAGCAUCCUGCAUGCCCAAGCCCAAAAGAAUCAAAA
This 72583-nucleotide long non-coding RNA is filed under the name Triticum aestivum (bread wheat). RNAcentral's name for it is "long non-coding RNA (TAES_LNC006002)". Lineage: Eukaryota; Viridiplantae; Streptophyta; Magnoliopsida; Poales; Poaceae. The record is from RNAcentral.